UUCAUCCGAGUUCGUAUGCAAAAGUUAUGCACAUUUUACAAAUUCCAGAGACAUUUUGCAAAUAAAGUCGAAAUUCAUGUUUGUAAAUUUUCCCAACAACUAGACCACAUAUCACAUGGGAAACUUAUUUUAUUUUAUUUUUUUGACAUUUCCAUCAUUUUUUUGUUUUUUCUAAAACUGAAAAGGCGGUCCACCGGGGGGGGGGGGGUAGAGUUUGAAAAUGGGACCUUUAGUACCGGUUCGUGCCAUGAACCGGUACUAAUGCCUCAAAGCCCAUUAGUACCGGUUGGUGGCACCAACCAGGACUAAAGGUCUAAAGGGCCAGGUGAACCGGGACUAAUGCCUUAGCCGCACGAACCGGGACGAAUGCUCACAUUAGUCCCGGUUCGUGACUGAACCGGGACUAAUGUGAAUACUGCCCUAUGACCAAAGCCCUGUUUUCUACUGGUGGCGAUGAACAACUAGCCGAAAAGUUCGAUUUGUCCACUCAACGAUGGAAGCACACAUAUAUAAUUUGUUUGGACAAAUGCCCUAGGGGACUUCGUCCAUGACGUGAAAGGAGCCUCCUUUCGAAUUAAGCACAAAAAAGAACCAACCAGGAACUGAUCUUCCUUUUUAGAUCCAUAAUUAUCAUUCCCUUGUCUAAUUUCUUGGUUGAAACUGAGCAUGCAGACGUGGCAUUCCUACCUAUACAGAACCACCGCUUACAGCCGGCCGCUGCGAGGAUGCCUGCAAGCGCUGCCGAUCUUCAUCGCUUGCUCCCUUCUCGAUUGACUUCAUUCACUUCCCUGGCAAAAAUUGAGGGCGAAUCAUUAGGUUCAAUCCUCUCACAAUUGGGUUGAGAAUUCUAGAGGAACAAUCCCUAGAAGUAUGAGAUGGCUCGUAGAGGCAUGCAAUGGUGUGGCCGGACUGUAAAAGUUGAUGGUGGCACAUGAUGGUAGUGGACACUAAGAUCGAUGGAGUUAGAAGACAGAAAGAAGGAGGCAAGAUGAGUACAUACUUAAUGGUGAUUACUGGUGGAAUUGGAAGAGGAACGGCCUGGGGAAAGAAGAAGACUAAAGAACCAUGCAUGCAUGCACGCACAGCAGGAAACCCGUGUUGGUAGAAGUUGUAUCGCAGGAUUUGAUGGAAUUUCCUAAGGUGGAAUAUGUGGGGCACGAUGAUUAUUAUUUUUGUAUGAGGUGGCAUAUGUGUGGGACAUGUAUGAUGACUUGGAUAAUUUGCAUGUGAAGAGAAAUAUGAUAGUGGGGUGUGGGACAUGUAUGAUGACUUGGAUAGCUUGCAUGCCAACAGAAAUAGUUUAGUGGGGAUGACUAUUUAGGUAUUAUAGAUUUGGAAAUGGCUACAACUUUUGCCAAUCGGUGGGCAUGCACAUGGUAGGCAUCCAUGCCAUGUUUGAAGGAAAAGAGUAUUUAGAAUCAUAAUUUGAGUAGGCACUCUAACCGUUAUUUCAAAUUUUAACAUAAUUAAUAAAUAUAAAAGGAUAAAAUUAAAAACAGUAAAUGGUUUUCCAGAUAAUAUUUGAUGGAAAAAGAACUUAUAAUCAUAAUUUAAUUUUUUUUCUUAAAACUAUUUUUUUGGUGUUCCAAAUAAUAUUUCAAAUUUUUGCACUGGUUUCAAAAAGAAUAAUAAUAUUUUAAAGGAGAAAACAAAUUAACGUAAAAAGAAUAAUAAUAUUUUAAAGAAGAAUAAAAAAAACUACAAAAAUAAUGCUUAGGCCUUGGCCCAACUAGGCGACAGUAUGGCUCCUGUCGGACGCAUGUUGGGAAUUUGUAAAAGUAUUUGCAUUUUUUAAAAUUUGUUCACAUUUUCGACCAAUGUUUCGAAAUUUCAAAAGUUGUUCACGUUACAAAAAAAUUGUUGAAAUUUGAAAACAUGAAACAUGUUCAUGUUUUCAAAUUUUGGUCUAAUUUCAAAAGUAUGUCCACGCUUUUCCAAAAAAUCAGAAAUUAAAAUGCAUUAUUAUUUUCGUUUUUUGUUGACAUGUUAAAAAAAUCAGGAUUUCAAUAAUGUUCUGGCUUUCAGAAAAAUUUCACACAUCGAAAAAAAGUUUGCUUCUUUAAAAUUUUGUCGGAGUUUCUAAAAAAUUUGUCUUGUUUUGAAAAAGGAUCGUGUCUUAAACAUAUAUAUUUGAUUUUUGUGUGUUUUUUAUAAUUUUUUUUUGGAAAUUUCAAUUUUUUCUUGCAUUUUGAUAAACUUUUCAGUAUUAGAAUUUUUUUAUAUAUUUCAAAAAAUGUUCAGGAUCGGUAAAGUUGUUCAUAUUUUUGGAAAAAAUGUUUUUUGGAAUUUCGGAAAUUCUUCAAAAUUUAGAGAAAAGCGGAGAGUUUCAAAAAAUAUUUGCUUUUUCCAAAAGGUGUUCGACAUUCACAUUUUAUGAAAACUUUUGAUGUUUUUUCAAAUAUGUUUUUAUAUAUGAAUGCUGCUGUGUGUUCUUAUAUAAUUCGCGCUAUAUGAAAUCACAAACAGGUGUUGGGUCGAGUGGCAAGCAGCAUGCGCUAAUUGUGCACGGUCCCAAUUUUAAGUCCUUGUUAUCUCUCUUUUCGCAGUAUUUAUAUUCUACAUAAAAUGGACAUACGUGACUUAAUAGGCCGGUCGAGGCGCGCAAGCACCAAAUCAGAGAGCCUUGUACAUGGCAUCUCUAUGGCAUAUACGUUGUGAAAUGUUCAUAUUGGCAUUUAUACAUUUAUUAGUGAGGGGGGCUGUACCGAAGCGGACUUUUUAGCUGAUUGUUCUAUGCAAAAUAAUUGUAUACUCCCUCUGAGUUCUGGAAUCGAAAAAGAGAAAACCUAGAAAUAAUUUUCUCUGGAGAGAGAAAGUAACCAGACAACGUUUGCUGUAAUCGUCAAAAACGUGCUUUUACUUUUUCUCAGCGGGAGCCGCUUGGCCAUAUGAGCAUUGAGCGAACGACAGCACGUAUGGGGAGCGGGAGGCGCGUAUGGUGGCUUCCAUCAACGUACUCCACGACCGAGGCAAUUAACCACGGUGGCGAUAGGCUACCGCUACACAUGCACCACCCACAUAAAUUCAAUUUGAUGCGGUAAUUAAUCACCUAAUUAACUUUAUAUACAAUUUCCUAGACACUUUGGACUUCUUGGCUUCUCCCAGAAAUAACGUCACCGGCUGCGCGACGCUCCCCCGACUGCCCAACUACCAACUUUACUCCAAUCCUGUGACACUUGUGAUUACUAUAAGAGCCUCACGGCCUCCCUGAUCUGCCAUUCUCUACCUCCACUCUACCGUAAAAAACUCGCCAUGUCCAACGCUGCUGCAUCCGCCAUCGGUGCCACAAGCGGCGACGAGCCGUCGCUGACCGCAUCAACCAUCGACGCCCAGGCCGUCGGAUCCCACAUUCUCCGCAUCAACGGCUACUCCUACACCAUGGGGCUCGGCACUGGCAAAUUCAUCACCUCGGAGUGUUUCACCGUCGGAGGCCAUCGCUGGUGUCUGAAAUACUUCCCCGACGGUACCCAAAAGGGCUAUCCAGCUUCGAUAUCCAUCUUCCUGUGUCUUGUUCACACUGCUUUGGAUGAAGUCAAGGCCAAAUUCACAAUUAGUUUGCUCGAUCAGGCCGGGAACCCCGUGCCGUCUUACAUCCGUCACGGCGGUAUGUGGACGUUCUCCCACAAGCAAGGUGGUAAUGCUGCGCGGGGCUACAGUGAUUUCAUCGAGAGGAGCGACUUGGAGAAUCAUUACGUGAAGGACGAUGUUUUGAGUGUCAGGUGUGAUGUGGCCGUGCCACUAGGGAAAACGGUCACCAAGGCCAUCCUGGUUUCCGCAGUUCGUCGUGGCGUUUGAACUGGCCGGUGGGAUCCUUGGGUUCGAUCGGUUGUGCACGAUAUCAUGAGUGUGGAGGCAAUGUUGCUAUGUCUCUUUUUUAUCUUCUACUGUUAUUACUUCUGUUUAAGUGGGAAUGUUUGCUUAAGCACAGUUGUGCACGUCGUUUGGUCAUCGGGUCUGUAAUGGAAUCAUCGAACUUAUAAGAUGAAUGUCUGAGUCGUUUCGUUUUUAACUUUUCUCAGCUUUGUGUGUUUCAGUGUUUAAACUGAACCUUUGUAGAGUGUCGUCGUAUUAUGUCGAGUUUGGCAGAAAUUUGUCUUUGUAAUCGCCUAUGCAUGUCAAUGAAAACCAGCAAAAAUAGUUCAACUUUGUGUUAAUGGAGUACUGGACUAGCUGGUUUGUUUUCCACUGCGUUUCACGGAGCAAGCUGGCAACGUCCAGGCCUAUCUGGCUAUGCCAGCAUCGAGCAGCGGGAGCAGCACUCCCAGCACUGCAUAUGCCUCCGGUCUUCAUCUGACUCUGACCUGCACUGUUCUUUUUUAAAAUUAGACUCAAAUUUGAAAUGUUAUAAUACAGAAAAGAAAGAGCUACCAUUUCUGAAAUUUGUAUAAAAUGUUGACUGAACCAUAAGCAAGUACUACAAAUUAGAGUUUGAAGCUUAAACAAGUCCAAGUAUAAAUUUAUAUUUUUUUUAAGUUUAUAGCUUUACUUUCUAUAUAUAUAUAUAUAUAUAUAUAUAGGAAAAUCCAUCCUACCACCCGGUGGUAGUUACCCCACAUAUCUCAUAUACUACCAAGUGGUACUAUAUAUAUACUAUUUUAUUAUUUUAAAUAUGUUCAUAUACUAUAUCUAAGAUAUUUCAAAGCAAGUUACGUGAAAAAAUUGCAUAUGAGCCCAUAGUUUUUGUUAUAUUUAUGAAAUACGUACAUAUUUAUACGUAAAAAGAGCAUACUCAAAAAAUGGUACAUACUACCUAAAAAUUAGUACAUAUAUACUACCUAAUCACUGUUAUAUACUACAUACAAUACGUACAUACUCUCGGUUUCGACAGAUAGUACAUACAACAUACAAAACGGAAGUGAUGGUAACUACCACUGCUUGUACGAAACAUUUGUCCUAUGUAUAUAUAUAAUAUAUAUAUAUACCCAACCCGAAUAUUGAUAGAAAUUCCAAGAAUAGAUAUGCUAUUGAUAAGGUAUUAUCAAUCAUAUGGGCAAGGAAGACCCCCUGUAAAAAAAUUAAAUAAAUAAAAAAAAAAUGAAUAAGCAAUGUUGAAUAUUUAAGCAAGUUAAAUUAAAAAUAAAUGAAGCAAUGCUGAAGCAGCCUUGGCAUGUAUGUACGCAUACACUGCCACAAGGAUUCUUGAAGGCAGAAGAAGCUCUGAAGGCUAAUCGCAUGAAGAUCUGUAUGGCCGAAGAGCGAAGACUGGUACACAGAGGCCAGUCAAUUAUUCACCCAGAGACAAUGCCACGUGAAGAAAGCAAAGAUUCCUGAAGAUUGAAGAUUGUCGGCACUCUCUCUCGCACUUUCCUAUAUUAUUAGUAGGACAUGCUUGUACCCUAGUAGGAUUUUUCUAUAUUAUUAGAAGGACACGCAUGUACCCUAGUAGGACACGCGUGCAUACUACCAUGUGUAAAAUAAGUGAAGGAAGACUCCUGAAGGCCUCCCUGGCAGCCACCCCCCGCGGCUAUAAAAGGAGACGCUGGGCUCAAGAACACAACACAAGACGGGAGAGCACGAAGCAUGUACCCUAGUAGGACACGCGUGCAUACUACCGUGUGUAAAAUAAGUGAAGGAAGACUCCUGAAGGCCUCCCUGGCAGCCACCCCCCGCGGCUAUAAAAGGAGACGCUGGGCUCAAGAACACAACACAAGACGGGAGAGCACGAAGCACUCAGAGCAUCAAAACUCUCCACCAGAGCACCGUUUCCUUCAUAGUUUAGCCACCACCACUGCUAGUAGAAUAGCCAAGAACGCGCUUCAAUCGCCAAGAGUUUGAAGGUAAUUUCAUACUUGUGUGUAACCCCUGCGGGGCCUCCCGAAAGGGAAAACCAUAUGUAAAUUAUGUUGUGGAAAUGAUAUAGUUUCUUGGUCUCACUUAGUAUUUUUAUUUAUGAAUUUAUGGGACGAGUUCUUAUGCUAGGGAUCUUAUAGGAGAAACCUCUACGUGUGUAGUUCUCUGUGUAGCCCAGAGUGGCGUUUGAAUGAGAACCUUGUGGUCAUAGAGAAGUGUUCCCUUCGGGUGGAACUGCCUGGGAAGACGAUAGGAAUUUACCCCAUAAAUUUGCAAUUAAAACUGGUAAGUGAACGUAACUAGCUAUAUCUGAGACAACAUAAUGAUAAAUAUGGUGAGUACUGAGUAGGAUUUCACACUUCUGCGGACACCGUCGGACGAAUUGUUGGCCUCGCCAGCCCAGAUUAGAUCCUAUAUCAAAUAAAUAAUCAAGUUAGAACGUUCUGACUUGAUUAUUUAUUCAAUAUGAUUACCUUCACGUUCUAACUUGAUUAUUUAUUUGAUACAGGAUCUAUUCUGGGCUGGCGAGGCCAACAAUUCGUCCGACACUUCUACUGAGUACUCACCAUAUUUAUCAUUAUGUUGUAUCAGAUGUAGCUAGUUACGUUCACUUAGCAGUUUUAAUUGCAAAUUUAUGGGGUAAAUUCCUAUCGUCUUCUCAAGCAGUUCCAUCCGAAGGGAACACUUCUCUACGACCACAAGGUUCUCAUUCAAACGCCACUCUGGGCUACACAGAGAACUACACACGUAGAGGUUUCUCCUAUAGGAUCCCUAGCAUAAGAACUCGUCCCAUAAAUUCAUAAAUAAAAAUACUAAGUGAGACCAAGAAACUACAUCAUUUCCACAACAUAAUUUACAUAUGGUUUUCCCUUUCGGGAGGCUCCGAAGGGAUUACACACAACUAGGAAAUUACCUUCAAACUCUUGGCGAUCGAGGCGCCUUCUUGGCUAUCCUACUAGAAGUGGUGGUGGCUACACUACGAAGGAAACGGUGCUCUGGUGGAGAUUUUUGAUGCUCUGAGUGCUUCGUGCUCUCCCGUCUUGUGUUCUCUUCUUGAGCCCAGCAUCUCCUUUUAUAGCCGCGAGGAAUGGCUGCAAGGGAGGCCUUCGGGAGCCUUCCUUCACUUAUUUUACAUACGGUAGUAUGCACGCGUGUCCUACUAGGAUACAUGCGUGUCCUUCUAAUAAUAUAGAAAAGUGCGAGAGAGAGUGCCGACAAACUUCAAUCUUCAGGAAUCUUUGCUUUGUUCACGUGGCAUUGUCUCUCGGUGAAUAAUUGGCUGGCCUUUGUGUACCAGUCUUUGUUCUUCAGCCAUACAGAUCUUCAUGCGAUUAGCCUUCAGAGCUUCUUCUGCUUUCAAGAAUCCUUGUGCCAGUGUAUGCGUACAUAAAUGCCAAGGCUGCUUAAAUAUUCAGCAUUGCUUCAUUUAUUUUUAGUUUAACUUGGUUAAGUAUUCAACAUUACUUAUUCAUUUUUUUUCAAUUUUUUUCAGGAGGUCUUCCCUGCCCAUAUGAUAGAUAAUACCUUAUCAAUAUUUAAAAUAUCUAUUCUUGGAAUUUCUAUCAAUAUUCGGGUCGGGUAUAGUGCUCUGAUACCAACAAUAUAGGGAAUAUUAAAUUAAAUGACUUUAUUUAGCUUAAUAUGAGAUUAGAUUUUGAUUAGAUUAAUAUGGGAUUAGGUGAAAGUGGUAGACAGGUAUGCUUUUUAUCUCGAAUAGUAUUUACUGUUCACCAGGUAGGGCACUAUUCACAAUAGUAUUUACUAUUUAGUACAUUAUUUGGAAUAGUGCUUCACUAUUCACAGUAAUAUUUAAUUUAAUAUGAUUACCUUCGCAUUCUAACUUGAUUAUUUAUUUGAUAUAGGAUCUAUACUGGGCUGGGGAGGCCAACAAUUCGUCCGACGGUGUGCACAGAGGUGUAAAACCCUACUCAGUACUCACCAUAUUUAUCAUUAUGUUGUAUCAGAUGUAGCUAGUUACGUUCACUUAGCAGUUUUAAUUGCAAAUUUAUGGGGUAAAUUCCUAUCGUCUUCCCAGGCAGUUCCACCCGAAGGGAACACUUCUCUACGGCCACAAGGUUCUCAUUCAAACGCCACUCUGGGCUACACAGAGAACUACACACGCAGAGGUUUCUCCUAUAGGAUCCCUAGCAUAAGAACUCGUCCCAAAAAUUCAUAAAUAAAAAUACUAAGUGAGACCAAGAAACAUAUCAUUUCCACAACAUAAUUUACAUAUGGUUUUCCCUUUCGGGAGGCCCCGAAGGGAUUACACACAACUAGGAAAUUACCUUCAAACUGUUGGCGAUCGAAGCGCCUUCUUGGCUAUUCUACUAGCAGUGGUGGUGGCUAAACUACGAAGGAAACGGUGCUCUGGUGGAGAGUUUUGAUGCUCUGAGUGCUUCGUGCUCUCCUGUCUUGUGUUCUCUUCUUGAACCCAGCGUCUCCUUUUAUAGCCGUGAGGGAUGGCUGCAAGGGAGGCCUUCGGGAGCCUUCCUUCACUUAUUUUACACACGGUAGUAUGCACGCGUGUCCUACUAGGGUACAUGCGUGUCCUUCUAAUAAUAUAGAAAAGUGCGAGAGAGAGUGCCGACAAACUUCAAUCUUCAGGAAUCUUUGCUUUGUUCACGUGGCAUUGUCUCUCGGUGAAUAAUUGGCUGGCCUUUGUGUACCAGUCUUUGUUCUUCAGCCAUACAGAUCUUCAUGCGAUUAGCCUUCAGAGCUUCUUCUGCUUUCAAGAAUCCAUGUGCCAGUGUAUGCGUACAUACAUGCCAAGGCUGCUUAAAUAUUCAGCAUUGCUUCAUUUAUUUUUAAUUUAACUUGGUUAAGUAUUCAACAUUACUUAUUCAUUUUUUCAAUUUUUUUCAGGAGGUCUUCCCUGCCCAUAUGAUUGAUAAUACCUUAUCAAUAUUUAAAAUAUCUAUUCUUGGAAUUUCUAUCAAUAUUCGGGUCGGGUAUAGUGCUCUGAUACCAACAAUAUAGGGAAUAUUAAAUUAAAUGACUUUAUUUAGCUUAAUAGGAAAUUAGAUUUUGAUUAGGUUAAUAUGGGAUUAGGUGAAAGUGGUAGACAGGUAUGCUUUUUAUCUCGAAUAGUAUUUACUGUUCACUAGGUAGGGCACUAUUCACAAUACUAUUUACUAUUUAGUACACUAUUUGGAAUAGUUCUUCACUAUUCACAGUAAUAUUUAAUUCAGUAUGAUUAGCUUCACAUUCUAACUUGAUUAUUUAUUUGAUAUAGGUUCUAUUCUGGGCUGGCGAGGCCAACAAUUCGUCCGACGGUGUGCACAGCGGUGUAAAACCCUACUCAGUACUCACCAUAUUUAUCAUUAUGUUGUAUCAGAUGUAGCUAGUUACGUUCACUUAGCAGUUUUAAUUGCAAAUUUAUGGGGUAAAUUCCUAUCGUCUUCCCAGGCAGUUCCACCCGAAGGGAACACUUCUCUACGGCCACAAGGUUCUCAUUCAAACGCCACUCUGGGCUACACAGAGAACUACACACGCAGAGGUUUCUCCUAUAGGAUCCCUAGCAUAAGAACUCGUCCCAAAAAUUCAUAAAUAAAAAUACUAAGUGAGACCAAGAAACAUAUCAUUUCCACAACAUAAUUUACAUAUGGUUUUCCCUUUCGGGAGGCCCCGAAGGGAUUACACACAACUAGGAAAUUACCUUCAAACUGUUGGCGAUCGAAGCGCCUUCUUGGCUAUUCUACUAGCAGUGGUGGUGGCUAAACUACGAAGGAAACGGUGCUCUGGUGGAGAGUUUUGAUGCUCUGAGUGCUUCGUGCUCUCCUGUCUUGUGUUCUCUUCUUGAACCCAGCGUCUCCUUUUAUAGCCGUGAGGGAUGGCUGCAAGGGAGGCCUUCGGGAGCCUUCCUUCACUUAUUUUACACACGGUAGUAUGCACGCGUGUCCUACUAGGGUACAUGCGUGUCCUUCUAAUAAUAUAGAAAAGUGCGAGAGAGAGUGCCGACAAACUUCAAUCUUCAGGAAUCUUUGCUUUGUUCACGUGGCAUUGUCUCUCGGUGAAUAAUUGGCUGGCCUUUGUGUACCAGUCUUUGUUCUUCAGCCAUACAGAUCUUCAUGCGAUUAGCCUUCAGAGCUUCUUCUGCUUUCAAGAAUCCAUGUGCCAGUGUAUGCGUACAUACAUGCCAAGGCUGCUUAAAUAUUCAGCAUUGCUUCAUUUAUUUUUAAUUUAACUUGGUUAAGUAUUCAACAUUACUUAUUCAUUUUUUCAAUUUUUUUCAGGAGGUCUUCCCUGCCCAUAUGAUUGAUAAUACCUUAUCAAUAUUUAAAAUAUCUAUUCUUGGAAUUUCUAUCAAUAUUCGGGUCGGGUAUAGUGCUCUGAUACCAACAAUAUAGGGAAUAUUAAAUUAAAUGACUUUAUUUAGCUUAAUAGGAAAUUAGAUUUUGAUUAGGUUAAUAUGGGAUUAGGUGAAAGUGGUAGACAGGUAUGCUUUUUAUCUCGAAUAGUAUUUACUGUUCACUAGGUAGGGCACUAUUCACAAUACUAUUUACUAUUUAGUACACUAUUUGGAAUAGUUCUUCACUAUUCACAGUAAUAUUUAAUUCAGUAUGAUUAGCUUCACAUUCUAACUUGAUUAUUUAUUUGAUAUAGGUUCUAUUCUGGGCUGGCGAGGCCAACAAUUCGUCCGACGGUGUGCACAGCGGUGUAAAACCCUACUCAGUACUCACCAUAUUUAUCAUUAUGUUGUAUCAGAUGUAGCUAGUUACGUUCACUUAGCAGUUUUAAUUGCAAAUUUAUGGGGUAAAUUCCUAUCGUCUUCCCACGCAGUUCCACCCGAAGGGAACACUUCUCUACGGCCACAAGGUUCUCAUUCAAACGCCACUCUGGGCUACACAGAGAACUACACACGCAGAGGUUUCUCCUAUAGGAUCCCUAGCAUAAGAACUCGUCCGAUAAAUUCAUAAAUAAAAAUGCUAAGUGAGACCAAGAAACAUAUCAUUUCCACAACAUAAUUUACAUAUGGUUUUCCCUUUCGGGAGGCCCCGAAGGGAUUACACACAACUAGGAAAUUACCUUCAAACUCUCGGCGAUCGAAGCGCCUUCUUGGCUAUUCUACUAGCAGUGGUGGUGGCUAAACUACGAAGGAAACGGUGCUCUGGAGGAGAGUUUUGAUGCUCUGAGUGCUUCCCGCUCUCCUGUCUUGUGUUCUCUUCUUGAACCCAGCGUCUCCUUUUAUAGCCGCGAGGGAUGGCUGCAUGGGAGGCCUUCGGGAGCCUUCCUUCACUUAUUUUACACAUGGUAGUAUGCACGCGUGUCCUACUAGGGUACAUGCGUGUCCUUCUAAUAAUAAAGAAAAGUGCGAGAGAGAGUGCCGACAAACUUCAAUCUUCAGGAAUCUUUGCUUUCUUCACGUGGCAUUGUCUCUCGGUGAAUAAUUGGCUGGCCUUUAUGUUCCAGUCUUUGUUCUUCGGCCAUACAGAUCUUCAUGCGAUUAGCCUUCAGAGCUUCUUCUGCCUUCAAGAAUCCUUGCGCCAGUGUAUGCGUACAUACAUGCCAAGGCUGCUUAAAUAUUCAUCAUUGCUUCAUUUAUUUUUAAUUUAACUUGCUUAAGUAUUCAACAUUACUUAUUCAUUUUAUUUUCAAAUUGUUUUCAGGGGGUCUUCCCUGCCCAUAUGAUUGAUAAUACCUUAUCAAUAUUUAAAAUAUCUAUUCUUGGAAUUUCUAUCAAUAUUCGGGUCGGGUAUAGUCCUCCGCGCCCGAAUAAUUGAUAGCAAUAUCAAUAUAGGCAACUUGGGCUUUAUUCAGGUCGCUGCCCAUGCCCUGCUAUGUCCAUAUGAUCAUCAUCAUCAUUUAACAUAUUGAAAUCAUAUUUUUGAUCGCAUUCUUUCUUUAUUUCUUCAAUUUUUUUGUUUAUUUCAUGCCUUAAUUCUUUUAAUAUUUCUUAUUUCAAUUCUUUUUUCAUUAUUUUUGAAAAAAUUCAAAUCUUUUAUCCAUUUCUUGAUCUAUGUAUUCACUGUCUAAACGGUCAAGCCCCUUUAGAAGGCAUUCUUGAUAUGUCUUAUAUUUUGGAGAUUAUUCCUUCUUUAUAUUGUUGAGCUUGAUGCCUCCCCCUUUGUGGGAGUUGGUGAAGUAGGUAUGCCUCUUCUCAUUUGGAUAUAAUCUUUAGCCUUUGGGUCAAUAUAAUAAUCUGGUCCUAAUACCUUUUUCGCCCAAAGUAAGGCAUCAUCUAUACUAUAAUAUCUUUUGAAUGUUAAAUCUUUUCCUUUUCUUUUUGCAUCUAAUUUUUCAAUCAUAAAAUUUUCCCAUUCCAAAUAUAUGCCAGGUUUAUUUCCAUCAAGUAUAAGAUAUAGUGUUUCUCCUUUUGGUAUUUCAGUCUUUUCUGGCUUUGGCAAUUUUUUGUUUAGUUCGCUAAAAUAUUCUGCCAAGCUAUUCAGAAUUGAUAACAUAUAUCCCAUUUCCACUCUUUUGGUGGUAUAUUGGAACCAGAAAUUAUCCAAUAUGCAGCGUUGAACUUCAUCAAGCUUGAUAUGAGCCUUUGGCUUGAAAUUGAAUGUAUUUGGUUGAAAUACUUUCAGCCUAUUUUAUUCUCCAAAGAAGAUGUAUUCCUCCUUGGUGUGGAAUAAUCCUUUCCUCAUAUCUGCAAAUUUGAUGCACGAGAAAAUAUGUCAGGUAAGGUAUUAUCCGUCCCCUUAAUAUGCUCAAAAAUAACUUUAUAACCAUUCCCAGCUAUGGUAUCUUCAAAUAAGACCCAUCUUCUGGUUGAGCUUUUCUUACUAUUAAUUUUAUUGUAAUAUCGACAUAUAGCUUCACAGUCUGUUCGCACUGUAAAUUCUUUAAAUCCUAGAUAUAGCCUAAAUGCAUUUAUUGCAUUUACAACUGCAAGGAUUUCCCUAUCAAUAUUAUUUACCGUUUUUAAUUUGUAACUUCCUGAAGCAUAUCUGCAUAUUUUUUUCAUCUGCCUUUGGAUAGUAUUUAUUGGGCUUUUGUUUUAGUAUUGCACCUAAUCCUACCUUAGAUGCAUCUGUCUCAAUUAUAAAAUAAUUGUCUUCUAGAGGCAAUUCUUGACUUUUUCUUUGAUGGCCUUUAUUAAUUUUAUAUCUUCAGAAUUGAAGUAUCUUUGACCAUUUUUUCUUAAUUUAGCAUAUAAAGGUCCUGCUAGCUUUGCUAAGUUAUCUAUAUAGUUUCGCGCAUAGUUUAAACUUCCUAAGAAUUGCUGUAAAACGUUUUUAUCACUCAUAUUAUCAGGAAACCCUAAUAUUUUCUAUGCAAGAUGAUCUUGUAGAUAUAUCUUUCCUUCUCCUAUUUCAUGACCAAGGACAUUUAUUUUCUCUUUGCAAAUUUCCAUCUUCUUUUUAGAUAGUAUGAGCCCAUUUUGUUCUACCUUUCUAAAGAACACUUCAAGAUGAGCUAUAUGCUCUUUGUAUGAUUUGGAGAAUACUAACAAAUCAUCUACGUAUACCAAUAUAAAUGCUUGAUUCUCAUUAAAUAUAUUUUGCAUUUUUCUUCGAAAUAAUGCAGGCGCAUUCUUUAGACCUAAUGGCAUUACUUGCCAUUCAUAAUGGCCUUGUGGACAAGUAAAUGCUGUCCAGGGAAUAGAUUCUUCAGCCAUUUUUACUUGCCAAAAUCCUACCUUUAAGUCGAAUUUAGAGAAAUAUUUACUUCCUUGUAUUCUGUUAAUCCAUUCCUGCUUAUUAGGUAUGUUGUAUGCAUCGUCAACUGUAUUAUCAUUAAGCCUUUUAAAAUUAAUUACCAUUCUAGAUUUACCUCUAACUUCUUCACCAUGAUUUCUAACUAUGAAUGCAGCAGACCGAUAAGGGUUUCUGCUUUCUCUUAUAGCCUUUAACUUUAAUAACUCUUCAAUAUGCAUUUUGAACUCUUCAAUAUCUUUUGGAGUAGCUUCUAUUGGUCCUGACAUAAUUAUAUAAUCUGGAUUUAUGAUAUUUAUUUUGCAAACUAUAGAGUUCUUAUCCCAAUGUUUCAUUGGUAUUUCUCCAAUAAUUUGUAUGCUUUCUAGUCUUUGCACAAUCUUAUCUAUAUCCUUUUUAGAUUUUAUAUCUCUAUACCAAUUUGGAGAGAAUGAUUGUAACCCAAUGCAUUCUGUACAUGUAUUUUCUAUAUGAUAUUCUUCUAUGGUCUCACUAAGUUCUUCGUCUUUACAGAAUUCAAGGGGAUUUGGACUUGUGCCAUAUUCAUCAUCUAAAUUAGAUAUUUCUACAUUUUGUAAGGACUUUCUUUGUUUUCUUACUUAUGAUAUGUAUGGAAUAUUAUCUUGAUAAGGGAUAAAUGUUACCCUUUCUUCAUGUAUGAUUGUGGUUUGUAAAGAUUGUUGUAAAAAUCUUAACCCUAUUAUCAUGUCAUCAUUUAUUACUGACAAAUCUCUUAUUGUAAUUUCAUCUAUUAUAUAUUUUGUGCCAUUUAUAUAAGCUUCAAUAUUAUAUGCUAGCUGAUUAUGUAUCUUCUUUAUUCCUGACAUAUCGGUAGAUACUUCAGCUUUAUUAUCAUCUAUAGUUUCAACUAUUUCGGGACAUCUCAUAAAAUAUUUAUCAUGGAUGAUGUUCUUAGCGCAACUAGUAUCUAAUAGUGCCUAUAUUUUAUAUGAAAUAUUUGGCUUAAGAACAAUCCUAACUGGAAUCCUUAUUCCUAACACUUCUUUGAAUGGUAAUCGAACAAUAUAUUUAUUCCCAAAACUAGUAAUUGCAUCUUUCAAUUGUAUUAGUUUGUCUCCUUUUUUAUCCCUUACUGUUACCAUUUGCUCCUUCACUUCCGUGGUUUCAGCAACAUUAUUGUCUUGCCUAUUACUAUUUUCUAACUAAUCUUUAAGUUUUUCUAGUUCUGCUUCUAGCUUAUUUAUUUUAUUUUCUAAAUUUCUAACCCUAUUGGAUAAUAUUCGUUCUUCUGGUUCUAAUUCUAUUUCUUGUCUCCACUUUUGAUUAUUGGCUCUUAGACAUGAGGCGCAUGCCUGUUUUAAACACAAGCUACAUGUAAACCUAUUAUCUUGGCUUGGGUAAUAUAUACAGAAAGCACAUUUUAUGUUAUAAUCACCUUUUCCUCUAAUCCAAUCAUGUUCACAAUCUACUUGGUUCAUCAUUUCAAUUUUUAAACCGGCUAAUUCAUCUAUUAGGUCUAUUUCAUCUUCACUUGAUUCAUAUUCUGGAGCCUCAUUUUCUACUUCAUCUGUCUCUAUAAUUGAAUAUAUUGACUCAUCGUCUUUUAUUUCAUCAUCACAUACUAAUAUAUUCUCAUUAACGCUAUCUAUAAUUAAUACUCUCUCUUGUUCUUCAUAUUUGCUAGAGUAUCUUUUCUGGUCUUUAUUAGGACAAGUUCUACUUAAGUGAUCAGGAGAGUUACAUAUGAAACACCUGCAUGUUUUAUCAUAGGUUUUCUUAGGAUUAUAUCUUCUUACAUUUCUUUUAUGUAAGAAUGGGGCUCUAUUGUCUGACCUUCUUAAGAAAUAUCUUUUCUUUGUUCUAAAAUUUCUAUUAUCUCUCCUUUGUGGUUUAUAAUAUUUGUUUUUCCUAUGCCUUUCUUCUCCAUAUGUUAGUGGUAUUUGGACAAUGUUAUUGCAAAAAUUGUAAUCUGAUUUCUUCAUACUUCUUUGGGCUUGAAUGCUAGUACAUACCUUUCUUAGCUGUUUGAAAACAAAUGUUAUGGCUUGGGAUAUAUUUACCACAUUUCCUCCUGUUUCUUUUUUAUACUCCUCAAAUAUUAUGGAACCUAGAGGAUCGGGCAACUUAUUAAAAUAUCUUUCUACUACACCUACAUUAAAACCUUGUUUAGCAGUAGUAGCAUUAUACAAAUAAUGCUGAGAGAAUUCUUUUAUACCUUUCCAGCUAGUUAAUGUUAAAUUUUCUAUUUCUCUUAACCUCUCAUUUUGUAAUGAGGUAUGUCCUAAUUCUGGAUCUUCUGCUAUGAUCAUAUUUGAGAUAACAUUCGCAAAGUUAUUAGGGUUACUUCCUGCCCUUUUUAAUUCUUCAUAUUGACUAGGGUAUGACUCUACCCAUUGUUCCCAUAGAACUUUUACAGAUUCUCCUAAAAAUGUUUCAAGAUAUGUUAACAUAUCUUCUACCUUAGUGCCUAUAUUAUACUGAUUUUGUAUCUAUUUUUGUACUAUUAAACCUUUCCAUAUGCUGAUUAUAUUAGGCCAAUCUAUUGGAUCAUGAGCUGCUAGGUUUAAUAUAGCGCCAUCAUUCUUAUAAUUCUGAAAUUGCACUGGUUUUUAAAAAUCUCUUCUUUUAGUACCCAUAUAUCUAUAUUGUCCUGGGAUAUAUGUAGGUUGAUAAUCAUCUUUUUCUCAAGGCCAUUGUCCAGCUGAUCUGGUAGGUCUCUCUCUUUCUCCUUCUCUUUUUACAGAUGAUUCUCCAUAUCCCCUUCUUCUUUUUCCACUAUUUUCUACUUCCAUGGCUUCCAUUGCAUUAUCUAAAUUAUGCAGUCCCACAUCAUCUAGUGAGUUAUAGAAAUCACUAUUUUGUUCUGAAUCAUCAUAUCUUUCAUCUUCUAACCACAUUUCUUUUAUUAAUUCUUCCUCCUCCUCAUAACUUUCUAAUAAUAACUUAUUAUUGAUAUCCCAUUGCUCUUCUUCACUAACAACUUCUUCCUUUGAACAAUAUUCUAAUCUUUAUUAUUAUUAUUAUUAUUAUUAUUAUUAUUAAUGAUAGCAUUUUUAUUAAUAAUAGCCUUUGCUUUUCUUUCUGCAGAUUCUAUAAUUUUAUCUUCCAUGGUUGAACUACUAGUGACAAACUUUUUAUCAUUUUUUAGUUUCUUUAACCUUGCAAUUUCUCUAAUGAUAAAUAGUUCUCUUUCUUUAAUUUCAGGCCAAUCCUUUGUCAUAGAAUGACUAUAUUCCCAUUCAAUAUGUUUUAGCUUCUUUUCCCAAUGAAUUAUUUCAUUUUCUAAAUCAGCCUUUUCCAUGCAUUCAGAUAUACCUUUAUUUUUAUCAUCAUUAAUUUCUGAUUCUGACAUAAAAGAUUCAGAGUCUUCUACUGAUGCAGCUCUAUAGUUCAUAAAUCGAAUACUGCUACUUCCUUCACAAUUUUGAUAGCUUAUGUAGUUUUCAGGUUGCUUUAACUCUUUUUUCUCUAUUAAUUCACCUAUCUUGCAUUCUUCUCCAGCUCUUUCUUCAGAACCAAUUUUAAGAGGAUUCAUAAACUUUAUACCUUUUGAUUGCAUACUAUCAAUUACGUCAUUCACAUUUACUCUAUAUCUGGAGCUACUUCUAUUAGUGAGCCUUCCUAUAAAUUAUAUACUUACUAACAAAUUUGUUCCUUUAAAAUCUUCAUAACCUUUAGUUUGGAAACCAAAACUCAUUUUUUCAAUAAAUUCUUUUACGGGCAUCAUUAGGUCUGGAGCUAUAUAGGCUAUUAAUCUAUUUUCAUUCAUGUCUCCUUCCAAAAAUCCUAAUGCUGCCGUUUCUACAGAUUCCCAUCUUCUGUCUAAUAAAGUUAUCAAAACCUUCGCACCUAAUUUCUUCCUUGUCCUACCUUUGACUCCUAUGAUAUACAUGCCUUGAUGAAUAUAUUUGUAACCAUAAUAUUUUAAUUCAUUUUCAAUAUUUUUUCUUACAAUUCUUAAAUCUACUGGAUGUGUUAACACACUUAAUUCUACUUCUCGAGAUAUUCUGUAUAGACCACUCUUACAUUCAAACAUACCCAUAUGAUAUACUUGUUGCGGCUUUAUUUUUCUUAGGGUAUCUUUUUGAUAUCUAUCUAUAUCUCUUUGUAUAUCUAUAACUUCUUCAAUACUAUCAAUAUCAUCAGCUUUGCAUGAUAAUCUAUGCUUCAUGGCUAGAGGUCUUGAAUCUUGCCUUACUAAUUGAAGAGUUUUGUCUCUUCUAAGGAAGCCUUUAGAUACGUCCAUUUUUCUGAAUUAAUAUAUCUAGUAGAGGAAACUAUUCCAGAUGAUGAUAGCACAAUUUCUUUGUUGCUUUGAACACUUUUUAGCUUAUAUAAUACUUGAAUGAAGAGUUGGAUGAUUGUGUUAUUUUUUCUUAUUAUUACUUUGGAAUCUUCUUUUGGGGAGUCGUGAUCGGAGAACCCGACAGGAGGUGACAGGUAUUUUGCUACUUCGUUUAAUGCUUGAGUAUAUUCAGUCAUAUAAUUAUGAGAUAAUCAAAGUUUUAACCUCUUGCACCAACUUUUUUAUUUCAAGUAUAUCUUGUCUUGAUUCAGUGCGUGGGAGUGACUCUUUGCCUUUACUUAGGUAGCGGCCUAUUGAUAGCACUUCCUCUUUAAUAUAAUCGUUAUUCUUGCAAACUGUAUUCUGUCUUGCUUUUGCUACCUCUAGCUUAUGUAAAGCUAGAUCAAUUUUAUUAUUCAACCCUGAAUAAUUAUCAGCAAGCUUUUGGUAUUCUUUGAAUAAACUUUCAAAUUUUUGGUCUAAAUUAUCUUGUCUUUUUCCCCAAGCUAUGUAAAAAUUAUAUAUCAAAUCGACGACUGUAUUUAACUGGCUAUGAGAUGUAUGCCAAAUAUGCUCUUCAGAGGGAUUUACUCUACACCUUAUAUUUAGAUUUUCCUUAGUAUUUAUUACUUUACCUGCGCUAACUUCUAAGUUUAAAUAUUUUAACCUUUCAAUGAUUAAACACUGGACCUGAUACCAACAAUAUAGGCUAUAAUAAAUUAAAUGACUUUAUUUAGCUUAAUAUGAGAUUAGAUUUUGAUUAGGUUAAUAUGGGAUUAGGUGAAAGUGGUAGUCAGGUAUGUGUUUUAUCUUCAAUAGUAUUUACAGUUCACUAGGUAGGGCACUAUUCACAAUAGUAUUUACUAUUUAGUACACUAUUUGGAAUAGUGCUUCACUAUUCACAUUAAUAUUUAAUUCAAUAUGAUUACGUUCACGUUCUAACUUGAUUAUUUAUUUGAUAUAGGAUCUAUUCUGGUCUGGCGAGGCCAACAAUUCGUCCGACGGUGUGCGCAGAGGUGUAAAAUCCUACUCAGUACUCACAAUAUUUAUCAUUAUGUUGUAUCAGAUGUAGCUAGUUACGUUCACUUAGCAGUUUUAAUUGCAAAUUUAUGGGGUAAAUUCCUAUCGUCUUCCCAGGCAGUUCCACCCGAAGGGGACACUUCUCUAUGGCCACAAGGUUCUCAUUCAAACGCCACUCUGGGCUACACAAAGAACUACACACGCAGAGGUUUCUCCUAUAGGAUCCCUAGCAUAAGAACUCGUCCCAUAAAUUCAUAAGUAAAAAUACUAAGUGAGACCAAGAAACUACAUCAUUUCCACAACAUAAUUUACAUAUGGUUUUCCCUUUUCGGGAGGCCCCGAAGGGAUUACACACAACUAGGAAAUUACCUUCAAACUCUUGGCGAUCGAAGCGCCAUCUUGGCUAUUCUACUAGCAGUGGUGGUGCCUAAACUACGAAGGAAACGCUGCUCUGGUGGAGAGUUUUGAUGCUCUGAGUGCUUCGUGCUCUCCCGUCUUGUGUUCUUUUCUUGAGCCCAGCGUCUCCUUUUAUAGCCGCGAGGGAUGGCUGCAAGGGAGGCCUUCGGGAGCCUUCCUUCACUUAUUUUAUACACGGUAGUAUGCACGCGUGUCCUACUAGGGUACACGCGUGUCCUUCUAAUAAUAUAGAAAAGAGCGAGAGAGAGUGCCGACAAACUUCAAUCUUCAGGAAUCUUUACUUUCUUCACGUGGCAUUGUCUCUCGGUGAAUAAUUGGCUGGCCUUUGUGUACCAGUCUUUGUUCUUCGGCCAAACAGAUCUUCAUGCGAUUAGCCUUCAGAGCUUCUUCUGCCUUCAAGAAUCCUUGUGCCAGUGUAUGCGUACAUACAUGCCAAGGCUGCUUAAAUAUUCAGCAUUGCGUUAUUUAUUUUUCAUUUAACUUGCUUAAAUAUUCAACAUUACUUAUCCAUUUUUUUUCAAUUUUUUUUCCAGGAGGUCUUCCCUGCCCAUAUGAUUGAUAAUACCUUAUCAAUAUUUAAAAUAUCUAUUCUUGGAAUUUCUAUCAAUAUUCGGGUCGGGUAUAGUGCUCUGAUACCAACAAUAUAGGGAAUAUUAAAUUAAAUGACUUUAUUUAGCUUAAUAUGAGAUUAGAUUUUGAUUAGGUUAAUAUGGGAUUAGGUGAAAGUGUUAGACAGGUAUGCUUUUUAUCUUGAAUAGUAUUUACUGUUCACUAGGUAGGGCACUAUUCACAAUACUAUUUACUAUUUAGUACACUAUUUGGAAUAGUGCUUCACUAUUCAUAGUAAUAUUUAAUACAAUAUAAUUACCUUCACGUUCUAACUUGAUUAUUUAUUUGAUACAUGAUCUAUUCUGGGAUGGCGAGGCCAACAAUUCGUCCGACGGUGUGCGCAGAGGUGUAAAAUCCUACUGAGUACUCACCAUAUUUAUCAUUAUGUUGUAUUAGAUGUAGCUAGUUACGUGCACUUAGCAGUUUUAAUUGCAAAUUUAUGGGGUAAAUUCCUAUCGUCUUCCCAGGCAGUUCCACCCGAACGGAACACUUUUCUACGGCCACAAGGUUCUCAUUCAAACGCCACUCUAGGCUACACAGAGAACUACACACGCAGAGGUUUUUCCUAUAGGAUCCCUAGCAUAAGAACUCGUCCCAUAAAUUCAUAAAUAAAAAUACUAAGUGAGACCAAGAAACUACAUCAUUUCCACAACAUAAUUUACAUAAGGUUUUCCAUUUCGGGAGGCCCCGAAUGGAUUACACACAACUAGGAAAUUACCUUCAAACUCUUGGCGAUCGAAGUGCCUUCUUGCCUAUUCUACUAGCAGUGGUGGUGGCUAAACUACGAAGGAAACGUUGCUCUAGUGGACAGUUUUGAUGCUCUGAGUGCUUCGUGCUCUCCCGUCUUGUGUUCUCUUCUUGAGCCCAGCGUCUCCUUUUAUAGCCGCGAGGGAUGGCUGCAAGGGAGGCCUUCGGGAGCCUUCCUUCACUUAUUUUACACACGGUAGUAUGCACGCGUGUCCUACUAGAGUACAUGCGUGUCCUUCUAAUAAUAUAGAAAAGUGCGAGAGAGAGUGCCGACAAACUUCAAUCUUCAGGAAUCUUUACUUUCUUCACGUUGCAUUGUCUCUCGGUGAAUAAUUGCCUGGCCUUUGUGUACCAGUCUUUGUUCUUCGGCCAAACAGAUCUUCAUGCGAUUAGCCUUCAGAGCUUCUUCUGCCUUCAAGAAUCCUUAUGCCAGUGUAUGCGUACAUACAUGCCAAGGCUGCUUAAAUAUUUAGCAUUGCUUUAUUUAUUUUUCAUUUGACUUGCUUAAAUAUUCAACAUUACUUAUCCAUUUUUUUUCAAUUUUUUUCCAGGAGGUCUUCCCUGCCCAUAUGAUUGAUAAUACCUUAUCAAUAUUUAAAAUAUCUAUUCUUGGAAUUUCUAUCAAUAUUCGGGUCGGGUAUAGUGCUCUGAUACCAACAAUAUAGGGAAUAUUAAAUUAAAUGACUUUAUUUAGCUUAAUAUGAGAUUAGAUUUUGAUUAGGUUAAUAUGGGAUUAGGCGAAAGUGUUAGACAGGUAUGCUUUUUAUCUGGAAUAGUAUUUACUGUUCACUAGGUAGGGCACUAUUCACAAUACUAUUUACUAUUUAGUACACUAUUUGGAAUAGUGCUUCACUAUUCAUAGUAAUAUUUAAUUCAAUAUAAUUACCUUCACGUUCUAACUUGAUUAUUUAUUUGAUACAUGAUCUAUUCUGGGAUGGCGAGGCCAACAAUUCGUCCGACGGUGUGCGCAGAGGUGUAAAAUCCUACUGAGUACUCACCAUAUUUAUCAUUAUGUUGUAUCAGAUGUAGCUAGUUACGUGCACUUAGCAGUUUUAAUUGCAAAUUUAUGGGGUAAAUUCCUAUCGUCUUCCCAGUCAGUUCCACCCGAAGGGAACACUUUUCUACGGCCACAAGGUUCUCAUUCAAACGCCACUCUGGGCUACACAGAGAACUACACACGCAGAGGUUUCUCCUAUAGGAUCCCUAGCAUAAGAACUCGUCCCAUAAAUUCAUAAAUAAAAAUACUAAGUGAGACCAAGAAACUACAUCAUUUCCACAACAUAAUUUACAUAAGGUUUUCCAUUUCGGGAGGCCCCGAAUGGAUUACACACAACUAGGAAAUUACCUUCAAACUCUUGGCGAUCGAAGUGCCUUCUUGCCUAUUCUACUAGCAGUGGUGGUGUCUAAACUACGAAGGAAACGUUGCUCUAGUGGAGAGUUUUGAUGCUCUGAGUGCUUCGUGCUCUCCCGUCUUGUGUUCUCUUCUUGAGCCCAGCGUCUUCUUUUAUAGCCGCGAGGGAUGGCUGCAAGGGAGGCCUUCGGGAACCUUCCUUCACUUAUUUUACACACGGUAGUAUGCACGCGUGUCCUACUAGGGUACAUGCGUGUCCUUCUAAUAAUAUAGAAAAGUGCGAGAGAGAUUGCCGACAAACUUCAAUCUUCAGGAAUCUUUUGCUUUCUUCACGUGGCAUUGUCUCUCGGUGAAUAAUUGGCUGGCCUUUGUGUACCAGUCUUUGUUCUUCGGCCAUACAGAUCUUCAUGCGAUUAGCCUUCAGAGCUUCUUCUGCCUUCAAGAAUCCUUGUGCCAGUGUAUGCGUACAUACAUGCCAAGGCUGCUUGAAUAUUCAGCAUUGCUUCAUUUAUUUUUAAUUUAACUUGCUUAAAUAUUCAACAUUACUUAUUCACUUUUUUCUCAAUUUUUUUUCAGGGGUCUUCCCUGCCCAUAUGAUUGAUAAUACCUUAUCAAUAUUUAAAAUAUCUAUUCUUGGAAUUUCUAUCAAUAUUCGGGUCGGGUAUAGUCCUCCGCGCCCGAAUAAUUGAUAGCAAUAUCAAUAGGCAACUUGGGUUUUAUUCAGGUCGCUGCCCAUGCCCUGCUAUGUCCAUAUGAUCAUCGUCAUCAUAUAACAGAUUGAAAUAAUAUUUUUGAUCGCAUUCUUUCUUUAUUUCUUCAAAUUUUUCGUUUAUUUUAUGCCUUAAUUCUUUUAAUAUUUCUUCUUUCAGUUCUUUUUUCAUUAUUUUUUAAAAUUCUUCAAAUCUUUUAUCCAUUUCUUGAUCUAUGUAUUCACUGUCUAAAGGGUCAAGCCCCUUUAGAAGGCAUUCUUGAUAUGUCUUAUAUUUUGGAGAUUCUUCCAUCUUUAUAUUUUUUGAGCUUGCUGCCUCCCCCUUUGUGGGAGUGGUGAAGUAGGUAUGCCUCUUCUCAUUUGGAUAUAAUCUUUAGCCUUUGGGUCAAUAUAAUAAUCUGGUCCUAAUACCUUUUUUGCCCAAAGUAAGGCAUCAUCUAUACUAUAAUAUCUUUUGAAUGUUAAAUCUUGUCCUUUUCUUUUUGCAUCUAAUUUUUCAAUCAUAAUAUUUUCCCAUUCCAAAUAUAUGCCAGGUUUAUUUCCAUCAAAUAUAAGAUAUAGUGUUUCUCCUUUUGGUAUUUCAGUCUUUUCUGGCUUUGGCAAUUUUUUGUUUAGUUCGCUAAAAUAUUCUGCCAAGCUAUUCCGAAUUGAUAACAUAUAUCCCAUUUCCUCUCUUUUGGUGGUAUAUUGGAACCAGAAAUUAUCCCAUAUGCAGCGUUGAACUUCAUCAAGCUUGAUAUGAGCCUUUGGCUUGAAAUUGAAUGUAUUUGGUUGAAUACUUUCAGCAUAUUUUCUUCUCCAAAGAAGAUAUAUUCCUCCUUGGUGUGGAAUAAUCCUUUCCUCAUAUCUGCAAAUUUGAUGCAUGAGAAAAUAUGUCAGGUAAGGUAUUAUCCUUCCCCGUAAUAUGUUCAAAAAUGACUUUAUAACCAUUCCCAGCUAUGGUAUCUUCAAAUAAGACCCAUCUUCUGGUUGAGCUUUUCUUACUAUUAAUUUUAUUGUAAUAUCGACAUAUAGCUUCACAGUCUGUUCGCACUGUAAAUUCUUUAAAUCCUAGAUAUAGCCUAAAUGCAUUUAUUGCAUUUACAACUGCAAGGAUUUCCCUAUCAAUAUUAUUUACCGUUUUUAAUUUCUAACUUCCUGAAGCAUAUCUGCAUAUUUUUUCAUCUGCCUUCGGAGAGUAUUUAUUGGGCUUUUGAUUUAGUAUCGCACCCAAUCCUACCUUAGAUGCAUCUGUCUCAAUUAUAAAAUAAUUGUCUUCUAGAGGCAAUUCUAGGGGUUUUAAAUUCUUGACUUUUUCUUUGAUGGCCUUUACUAAUUUUAUAUCUUCAGAAUUGAAGUAUCUUUGACCAUUUUUUCUUAAUUUAGAAUAUAAAGGUCCGGUAGCUUUGCUAAGUUAUCUAUGAAUUGUUGUAAAACAUUUUUAUCACUCAUAUUAUCAGGAAACUCUAAUAUUUUCUUUGCAAUAUGAUCUUGUAGAUAUAUCUUUCCUUCUCCUAUUUCAUGACCAAGGACAUUUAUUUUCUCUUUGCAAAUUUCCAUCUUCUUUUUAGAUAUUAUGAGCCCAUUUUGUUCUACCUUUCGAAAGAACACUUCAAGAUGGGCUAUAUGCUCUUUGUAUGAUUUUGAGAAUACUAACAAAUCAUCUACGUAUACCAAUAUAAAUGCUUGAUUCCCAUUAAAUAUAUUUUGCAUUUUUCUUUGAAAUAAUGCAUGCGCAUUCUUUAGACCUAAUGGCAUUACUUGCCAUUCAUAAUGGCCUUGUGGACAAGUAAAUGUUGUCCAGGGAAUAGAUUCUUCAGCCAUUUUUACUUCCAAAAUCCUGCCUUUAAGUCGAAUUUAGAGAAAUAUUUACUUGUAUUCUGUUAAUCCAUUCCUGCUUAUUAGGUAUGUUGUAUGCAUCGUCAACUGUAUUAUCAUUAAGCCUUUUAAAAUUAAUUACCAUUCUAGAUUUACCUCUAACUUCUUCAGCAUGAUUUCUAACUAUGAAUGCAGCAGACCGAUGAGGGCUUCUGCUUUCUCUUAUAGCCUUUAACUUUAAUAACUCUUCAAUAUGCAUUUUGAACUCUUCAAUAUCUUUUGGAGUAGCUUCUAUUGGUCCUGACUUAAAUAUAUAAUCUGGAUUUAUGAUAUUUAUUUUGCAAACUAUAGAUUUCUUAUCCCAAUGUUUCACUGGUAUUUCUCCAAUAAUUUGUAUGCUUUCUAGUCUUUGCAUAAUCUUAUCUAUAUCCUUUUUAGAUUUUAUAUCUCUAUACCAAUUUGGAGAGAAUGAUUGUAACCCAAUGCAUUCUGUACAUGUAUUUUCUAUAUGAUAUUCUUCUAUGGUCUCACUAAUAUCUUCGUCUUUACAGAAUUCAAGGGGAUCUGGACUUGUGCCAUAUUCAACAUCUAAAUUAGAUAUUUCUACAUUUUGUAAGGACUUUCUUUGUUUUCUUACUUCAGAUAUGUAUGGAACAUUAUCUUGAUAAGGGAUAAAUGUUACCCCUUCUUCAUGUAUGAUCGUGGUUUGUAAAGAUUGUUGUAAAAGUCUUAACCCUAUUAUCAUGUCAUCAUUUAUUACUGACAAAUCUCUUAUUGUAAUUUCAUCUAUUAUAUAUUUUGUGCCAUUUAUGUAAGCUUCAAUAUUAUAUGCUAGCUGCUUAUGUAUCUUCUUUAUUCCUGACAUAUCGGUACAUACUUCAGCUUUAUUAUCAUCUAUAGUUUCAACUAUUUCGGGACAUCUCAUAAAAUAUUUAUCAUGGAUGAUGUUCUUAGUGCAACCAGUAUCUAAUAGUGCCAAUAUUUUAUAUGAAAUAUUUGGCUUAAGAACAAUCCUAACUGGAAUCCUUAUUCCUAACACUUCUUUGAAUGGUAAUCGAACAAUAUAUUUAUUCGCAAAACUAGUAAUUGCGUCUUUCAAUUGUAUUAGUUUGUCUCCUUUUUUAUCCCUUACUGUUACCAUUUGCUCCUUCAUUUCCGUGAUUUCAGCAACAUUAUUGUCUUGCCUAUUACUAUUUUCUAACUCAUCUUUAAGUUUUUCUAGUUCUGCUUCUAGCUUAUUUAUUCUAUUUUCUAAAUUUCUAACCCUACUGGAUAAUAUUCGUUCUUCUGGUUCUAAUUCUAUUUCUUGUCUCCACUUUUGAUUAUUGGCUCUUAGACAUGAGGCACAUGCUUGUUUUAAACACAAGCUACAUGUAAACCUAUUAUCUUGGCUUGGGUAAUAUAUACAGAAAGCACAUUUUAUGUUAUAAUCACCUUUUCCUCUAAUCCAAUCAUGUUCACAAUCUACUUGGUUCAUCAUUUCAAUUUUUAAAACGGCUAAUUCAUCUAUUAGGUCUAUUUCAUCUUCACUUGAUUCAUAUUUUGGAGCCUCAUUUUCUACUUCAUCUGUCUCUAUAAUUGAAUAUAUUGACUCAUCGUCUUUUAUUUCAUCAUCACAUAAUAAUAUAUUCUCAUUAACGCUAUCUAUAAUUAAUACUCUCUCUUGUUCUUCAUAUUUGCUAGAGUAUCUUUUCUGGUCUUUAUUAGGACAAGUUCUACUUAAGUGAUCAGGAGAGUUACAUAUGAAACACCUGCAUGUUUUAUCAUAGGUUUUCUUAGGAUUAUAUCUUCUUACAUUUCUUUUAUGUAAGAAUGGGGCUCUAUUGUCUGACCUUCUUAAGAAAUAUCUUUUCUUUGUUCUAAAAUUUCUAUUAUCUCUCCUUUGUGGUUUAUAAUAUUUGUUUUUCCUAUGCCUUUCUUCUCCAUAUGUUAGUGGUAUUUGGACAAUGUUAUUGCAAAAAUUGUAAUCUGAUUUCUUCAUAGUUCUUUGGGCUUGAAUGCUAGUACAUACCUUUCUUAGCUGUUUGAAAACAAAUGUUAUGGCUUGGGAUAUAUUUACCACAUUUCCUCCUGUUUCUUUUUUAUACUCCUCAAAUAUUAUGGAACCUAGAGGAUCGGGCAACUUAUUAAAAUAUCUUUCUACUACACCUACAUUAAAACCUUGUUUAGCAGUAGUAGCAUUAUACAAAUAAUGCUGAGAGAAUUCUUUUAUACCUUUCCAGCUAGUUAAUGUUAAAUUUUCUAUUUCUCUUAACCUCUCAUUUUGUAAUGAGGUAUGUCCUCAUUCUGGAUCUUCUGCUAUGAUCAUAUUUGAGAUAACAUUCGCAAAGUUAUUAGGGUUACUUCCUGCCCUUUUUAAUUCUUCAUAUUGACUAGGGUAUGACUCUACCCAUUGUUCCCAUAGAAAUUUUACAGAUUCUCCUAAAAAUGUUUCAAGAUAUGUUAAAAUAUCUUCUACCUUAGUGCCUAUAUUAUACUGAUUUUGUAUAUAUUUUUGUACUGUUAAACCUUUCCAUAUGCUGAUUAUAUUCGGCCAAUCUAUUGGAUCAUGAGCUGCUAGGUUUAAUAUAGCGCCAUCAUUCUUAUAAUUCUGAAAUUGCACUGGUUUUUCAAAAUCUCUUCUUUUAGUACCCAUAUAUCUAUAUUGUCCUGGGCUAGAUGUAGGUUGAUAAUCAUCUUUUUCUGGAGGCCAUUGUCCAGCUGAUCUGGUAGGUCUCUCUCUUUCUCCUUCUCUUUUUACAGAUGAUUCUCCAUAUCCCCUUCUUCUUUUCCCACUAUUUUCUACUUCCAUGGCUUCCAUUGCAUUGUCUAAAUUAUGCAGUCCCACAUCAUCUAGUGAGUUAUAGAAAUCACUAUUUUGUUCUUAAUCAUCAUAUCUUUCAUCUUCUAACCACAUUUCUUUUAUUAAUUCUUCCUCCUCCUCAUAACUUUCUAAUAAUAACUUAUUAUUGAUCAGACUAAGGCAUAGCCUAGUGGUGGGGAGGCGUUGAUGCCUUCCCACCCACCCAGGUUCAAGGCAUGGUACUUGCAAUUUGGGUUUGUUGCACCAAUUAUACUGUAGGGGGUUCCCUAACAGUCUUUCUAUCAAAAAAAACUUAUUAUUGAUAUCCCAUUGCUCUUCUUCACUAACAACUUCUUAUUUUUGAACAAUAUUCUUAUGUUUAUUAUUAUUAUUAUUAAUGAUAGCAUUUUUAUUAAUAAUAGCCUUUGUUUUUCUUUCUGCAGAUUCUAUAAUUUUAUCUUCCAUGGUUGAACUACUAGUGACAAACUUUUUAUCAUUUUUUAGUUUCUUUAACCUUGCAAUUUCUCUAAUGAUAAAUAGUUCUCUUUCUCUAAUUUUAGGCGAAUCCUUUGUCAUAGAAUGACUAUAUUCCCAUUCAAUAUGUUUUAGCUUCUUUUCCCAAUGAAUUAUUUCAUCUUCUAAAUCAGCCUUUUCCAUGCAUUCAGAUAUACCUUUAUUUUUAUCAUCAUUAAUUUCGGGUUCUGAUAUAAAAGAUUCAGAGUCUUCUACUGAUGCAGCUUUAUAGUUCAUAAAUCGAAUACUGCUACUUCCUUCACAAUUUUGAUAGCUUAUGUAGUUUUCAGGUUGCUUUAACUCUUUUUUCUCUAUUAAUUCACCUAUCUUCCAUUCUUCUCCAGCUCUUUCUUCAGAACCAAUAUUAAGAGGAUUCAUAAACUUUAUACCUUUUGAUUGCAUACUAUCAAUUACGUCAUUCACAUUUACUCUAUAUCUGGAGCUACUUCUAUUAGUGAGCCUUCCUAUAAAUUCUAUACUUACUAACAAAUUUGUUCCUUUAAAAUCUUCAUAACCUUUAGUUUCGAAACCAAAACUCAUUUUUUCAAUAAAUUCUUUUACGGGCAUCAUUAGGUCUGGAGCUAUAUAAGCUAUUAAUCUAUUUUCAUUCAUGUCUCCUUCCAAAAAUCCUAAUGCUGCCGUUUCUACAGAUUCCCAUCUUCUGUCUAAUAAAGUUAUCAAAACCUUCGCACCUAAUUUCUUCCUUGUCCUACCUUUGACUCCUAUGAUAUACAUGCCUUGAUGAAUAUAUUUGUAACCAUAAUAUUUUAAUUCAUUUUCAAUAUUUUUUCUUAAAAUUCUUAAAUCUACUGGAUGUGUUAACACACUUAAUUCUACUUCUCGAGAUAUUCUGUAUAGACCACUCUUACAUUCAAACAUACCCAUAUGAUAUACUUGUUGCGGCUUUAUUUUUCUUAGGGUAUCUUUUUGAUAUCUAUCUAGAUCUCUUUGUAUAUCUAUAACUUCUUCAAUACUAUCAAUAUCAUCAGCUUUGCAUGAUAAUCUAUGCUUCAUGGCUAGAGGUCUUGAAUCUUGCCUUACUAAUUAGAGAGUUUUGUCUCUUCUAAGGAAGCCUUUAGAUACGUCCAUUUUUCUGAAUUAAUAUUUCUAGUAGAGGAUACUAUUCCAGAUGAUGAUAGCACAACUUCUUUGUUGCUUUGAACACUUUUUAGCUUAUCUAAUACUUGAAUUAAUAGUUAGAUGAUUGUGUUAUUUUGUCUUAUUAUUACUUUGGAAUCUUCUUUUGGGGAGUCGUGAUCGGAUAACCUGACAGGAGGUGACAGGUAUUUUGCUACUUCGUUUGAUGCUUGAGUAUAUACUUAGUCACAUAAUUAUGAGAUAAUCAAAGUUUUAACCUCUUGCACCAACUUUUUUAUUUCAAGUAUAUCUUGUCUUGAUUCAGUGCGUGGGAGUGACUCUUUGCCUUUACUUAGGUAGCGGCCUAUUGAUAGCACUUCCUCUUUAAUAUAAUCAUUAUUCUUGCAAACUGUAUUCUGUCUUGCUUUUGCUUCCUCUAGCUUAUGUAAAGCUAGAUCAAUUUUAUUAUUGAACCCUGAAUACUUAUCAGCAAGCUUUUGGUAUUCUUUGAAUAAACUUUCAAAUUUUUGGUCUAAAUUAUCUUGUCUUUUUCCCCAAGAUAUGUAAAAAUUAUAUAUCAAAUCGACGACUGUAUUUAACUGGCUAUGAGAUGUAUGCCAAAUAUGCUCUUCAGAGGGAUUUACUCUACACCUUAUAUUUAGAUUUUCCUUGGUAUUUAUUACUUUACCUGCGCUAACUUCUAAGUUUAAAUAUUUUAACCUUUCAAUGAUUAAACACUGGACCUGAUACCAACAAUAUAGGGAAUAUUAAAUUAAAUGACUUUAUUUAGCUUAAUAUGAGAUUAGAUUUUGAUUAGGUUAAUAUUGGAUUAGGUGAAAGUGUUAGACAGGUAUGCUUUUUAUCUUGAAUAGUAUUUAUUGUUCACUAGGUAGGGCACUAUUCACAAUACUAUUUACUAUUUAGUACACUAUUUGGAAUAGUGCUUCACUAUUCAUAGUAAUAUUUAAUACAAUAUAAUUACCUUCACGUUCUAACUUGAUUAUUUAUUUGAUACAUGAUCUAUUCUGGGAUGGCGAGGCCAACAAUUCGUCCGACGGUGUGCGCAGAGGUGUAAAAUCCUACUGAGUACUCACCAUAUUUAUCAUUAUGUUGUAUCAGAUGUAGCUAGUUACGUGCACUUAGCAGUUUUAAUUGCAAAUUUAUGGGGUAAAUUCCUAUCGUCUUCCCAGGCAGUUCCACCCGAAGGGAACACUUUUCUACGGCCACAAGGUUCUCAUUCAAACGCCACUCUGGGCUACACAGAGAACUACACACGCAGAGGUUUCUCCUAUAGGAUCCCUAGCAUAAGAACUCGUCCCAUAAAUUCAUAAAUAAAAAUACUAAGUGAGACCAAGAAACUACAUCAUUUCCACAACAUAAUUUACAUAAGGUUUUCCAUUUCGGGAGGCCCCGAAUGGAUUACACACAACUAGGAAAUUACCUUCAAACUCUUAGCGAUCGAAGCGCCUUCUUGGCUAUUCUACUAGCAGUGGUGGUGGCUAAAUUAUGAAGGAAACGGUGCUCUGGUGGAGAGUUUUGAUGCUCUAAGUGCUUCGUGCUCUCCCGUCUUGUGUUCUCUUCUUGAGCCCAGCGUCUCCUUUUAUAGCCGCGAGGGCUGGCUGCAAGGGAGGCCUUCGGGAGCCUUCCUUCACUUAUUUUACGCACGGUAGUAUGCACGCGUGUCCUACUAGGGUACAUGCAUGUCCUUCUAAUAAUAUAGAAAAGUGCAAGAGAGAUUGCCGACAAACUUCAAUCUUCAGGAAUCUUUGCUUUCUUCACGUGGCAUUGUCUCUCGAUGAAUAAUUGACUGGCCUUUGUGUCCCAGUCUUUGUUCUUCGGCCAUACAGAUCUUCAUGCGAUUAGCCUUCAGAGCUUCUUCUGCCUUCAACAAUCCUUGUGCCAGUGUAUGCGUACAUACAUGCCAAGGCUGCUUAAAUAUUCAACAUUGCUUCAUUUAUUUUUAAUUUAACUUGCUUAAAUAUUCAACAUUACUUAUUCAUUUUUUUUUCAAUUUUUUUCAGGGGGACUUCCCUGCCUAUAUGAUUGAUAAUACCUUAUCAAUAUUUAAAAUAUCUAUUUUUGGAAUUUCUAUCAAUAUUCGGGUCGGGUAUAGGGAAUAUAUAUAUAUAUAUAUAUAUAUAUAUAUAUAUAUAGUGUUACUAUUCAUCAUCCAGGGUGCAGAAUAAGUUAUUCUUCACCCGAGGUAAUCUUACGAUCAUAUCAUAAUUAAAUUACGUUUGGAAUCAAAUAGUUACAUUCAUAUUGAUUCACUACGUAAAAUUUGGCAUAAAAAAUAAAAAUAUAGGUCAUAAGGCAAGAAAAUUUGCAGUUUAUGUGUAUUUUACACUAUGUUUUUACGUUUGUAAUUUCACAUAACAUGAAAUGUNNNNNNNNNNNNNNNNNNNNNNNNNNNNNNNNNNNNNNNNNNNNNNNNNNNNNNNNNNNNNNNNNNNNNNNNNNNNNNNNNNNNNNNNNNNNNNNNNNNNNNNNNNNNNNNNNNNNNNNNNNNNNNNNNNNNNNNNNNNNNNNNNNNNNNNNNNNNNNNNNNNNNNNNNNNNNNNNNNNNNNNNNNNNNNNNNNNNNNNNNNNNNNNNNNNNNNNNNNNNNNNNNNNNNNNNNNNNNNNNNNNNNNNNNNNNNNNNNNNNNNNNNNNNNNNNNNNNNNNNNNNNNNNNNNNNNNNNNNNNNNNNNNNNNNNNNNNNNNNNNNNNNNNNNNNNNNNNNNNNNNNNNNNNNNNNNNNNNNNNNNNNNNNNNNNNNNNNNNNNNNNNNNNNNNNNNNNNNNNNNNNNNNNNNNNNNNNNNNNNNNNNNNNNNNNNNNNNNNNNNNNNNNNNNNNNNNNNNNNNNNNNNNNNNNNNNNNNNNNNNNNNNNNNNNNNNNNNNNNNNNNNNNNNNNNNNNNNNNNNNNNNNNNNNNNNNNNNNNNNNNNNNNNNNNNNNNNNNNNNNNNNNNNNNNNNNNNNNNNNNNNNNNNNNNNNNNNNNNNNNNNNGAUGGUAAAAUAGAGGGGGUGAAGAAUAACUAUUCCUCACACAGUAUAUAUAUAUAUAGGGAUUGACUAUUCGUCAUCCUGUGUGAGGAAUAGUUAUUCUUCACCCCCUCUAUUUUACCAUCAAUGCACCGUAAUUUUACGUUCCGUAAAAUUUGUCUUAUUUCCGACAUAAAAAGAGACCGUAAUAAUAUAUAUAAUCGUCGUAAAAAAUAUUUCAUGUUAUGUGAAAUUACAAACGUAAAAAUAUAUAUAUAUAUAUAUGGACUGUGAUAACUGGCAACCGUGUGCCAGAUUGCCAAAACCACCAUACCCCCUCGUGCCGCACGAAACCCAUCCCUUCUCCCGAUUUUCUGGGCCAUCCCGAUCCCCCGCACGAACCCCUCCCUUCUCCCCAUUUUCUAGGCCACCCAGGCCCAUCCCGAUGGUGCGCUUGCAGUUUGAAAAAAAGCGAAAAAAAUGCAAUGGAGGGGAAUCGAACCCACAACCUACCACAACAUAUUUAGCAACAACAACCAACGGGGCUAUGCCACAUUAUUGAUUUCUUUCAACUUACACACUACUUAUACCUUCCUGACACUACUAGGAAAAGGGCUAUAGAGAAUAUGCACACUAAUGGCGCACCAGACAUGCGGUGCGCCACGACUAUAUAGCAGUGGCGCACCGUGUGCUGGUGCGCCAUUAAUGUGAUAGACAGUAAUGGCGCACCACAACUAUGGUGCGCCACUACUAACAAUUUUUUUUCUUUUUUCCAAAAAUACUAAUGGCGCACGGUGUGCUGGUGCGCCAUUAGUGUCUAUCACACGAAUGGCGCACCACAACCAUGGUGCGCCACUACUAACAAUUUUUUUCUUUUUUCCAAAAAUACUAAUGGCGCACCGGGGCGCAGUGCGCCAUUACUAGUUUUAACUAGUAAUGGCGCACCAGUCACCCCAUGCGCCACUACUAUCAUUUUUUGUUUUUUGUUUUUUUGCAAAACUACUAAUGGCGCACCGCCAGCUGGUUGGCCAUUAGUAACUAGGGUUACUAAUGGCGCAUUUGUUGGUGGUGCGCCAUUAGUAACCUGGGACCAGCUAGAUAUUUUGGACAGCCACCUACGCACUCACUUUCCCCACUUCAUUCUCUCCACCUCCUCCUCCAAGCUUGUCUCGGGUGCCUCCUCCUCCUCACCUCAUUUGCACCAUAGAUUCAUCCAAAUUAAGUGGUUAAAUUACCUUUUUUUGAUAGGUAAGUAAGGGGAAAGCUUUCUUUAUGUUGUAGAUCUACUUUUUUUUCCCUCCAACAACGUGCACAUGCACUUUUUAUGGCCUAGCUAGAUCUAUGUAUGUUUGUGGUGUUGCAUAUGUUUGUGGUGUUGCAUAUAUGUUUGUGUUUGCAGGUACUGGUAUUUGAAAUGCGAUAGUUGCCAAUAUUUUGCCGGAAUGUUGAUUCAUUUCCGUUUCGGCGAGAAUUCUGGCACUAUGCAUUCUUUUUGGUCAUAUUUUUAGGCAAAGUCAUGCCAAAUUUUUUCUUGGUUCUAAAAUAUCGUUUUGCUCUACCCCGCAGGCGACCAUGGUUCGCACGAUGACCGAAGGCAUCGUGAAUAGGGUUUUGAGCUCCGCGAAGGCCGAGAUGCUUCAAAAUAACGAGACGGAGAUAAGAUGUCCGUGUCGAAGAUGCAAGCUGAGGAGCCUUAUGGACCCGGAUUCCGUACAGGUGCGGGACCACAUGCUCUUACGUGGUUUCAUGGAUGGCUAUCGGUGGCAAGGUGAUGAAGAUGAUUAUGAAGUCGUCCAUGGGGGCCGGCCGACAAGAAAUGAGGAAGGGCAGCAAGACAACCGCGGCAAGGGUGGGCGAGAAGACGAAGAAUCUCCAGGACAUGAUGACGAAGUAGAUAGAAGAUGCCGGACAUGAUGAUGAGGAAGAUGCCAGAGCAGACGAAGGGCAUGAUCAUGAAGAUGAAGAUGCUGGAGCAGACGACGAUGGACCAUCGAUGGGCUGGGUGCAGGACCCUCAUAUUCAAGAGCUGCUUCUCAAGCAGACGGAUAACGCAAGAGCUGCCGCCCGAGAGAAAGCCAAGCUGGAUCAACUGGAGAUAGACGCGGUUACUCCAUUGUAUGUAGGAUGCAGGCCCGAGGAUACCCGCCUGAAAGUAACGCUCAUGGCUCUGGAGAUGAAGGUAAAACCCAAAAUGACCGACGCAUGCUUCGACGAGAACAUGUCAUUCUGGCACGAACGUCUUCCCAAGGGGAACAAGUGCCCGACCAGUUUCAAGGAGGCGAAGAAAAUCAUGUGUCCUCUGGAUUUACCGCACGUGAAAUACGAUGUGUGCAUGAACAAUUGCAUAUCGGGACGAGCACGCGGAGUCUACCAUAUGUCCGGUGUGCGGCGUCACUCGAUACAAGAAGAGGAAGAAAGCUCCUCGAAAAGUGGUGUGGUACUUUCCGAUCACUCCUCGUCUGCAGCGGUAUUUCGUGGACCCUAAGGUAGCAAAGCUCUUGCGUUGGCACGCGGAUAGGGAGGAGAAGAAGCGAGAAGAUCACGCAAAUGAUCCGGAGAUAAAUAAAAAAGACAAGAUGCUGAGUCACCCUAAGGAUGGGAGCCAGUGGCAAGCGUUGAACUUCGAACACCCAGAAUUUGGGAACGAUCCAAGGAACAUCGUGCUGGGCGCGAGCACCGAUGGAGUCAAUCCGUUUGGCAGCCAGAGAAGCACACAGAGCACCUGGCCUGUGUUUGUGUGGAUGUACAACCUUCCCCCCUGGUUGUGCAUGAAGAGGAAGUACAUUCACAUGAGUAUGCUAAUUGAAGGGCCGAAACAACCAGGGAACGACAUCAAUCUGUAUCUGGGGCUGCUGAAAGAGGAGCUAGACACGCUGUGGAAAACGGCAGCCAAUACGUGGGACGCCGCAGAGAAAGAAUAUUUCCCUAUGGGAGCCGCACUGCUCACGACAGUGCACGACUAUCUCGGUUACGGAUAUCUCGUGGGGCAGGUGGUCCACGGAUUUUCUGGAUGCGUCAGGUGCAUGGAUGACACAACGUAUCGCCAGCUAGAUAGAGAUCCCGGGUCUCCGAAAACCGUGUUCAUGGGAGAUCGAAGGUGGCUUCGCGACGAUGACCCAUGGGGAAAACGCAAUGAUCUGUUCGAUGGUGAAACCGAACCCCGAAGACGCCCACGUACGAGGAGCAGCGAGGAAAUAGACAAGCUGUUGAAAAAUUGGAAAGAUUGCCCACUGCCGGGAAAGAAGCAAAAGGUGCUAGAGCCGGGAAAGAAGCGAAAGGCGCAAGAGCCGCUGCUGAAGGUAUGGAAAACGAGUUCUGUUUUCUAGGACUUGGCGUACUGGAAGAUCCACCGUGUGCCUCACAGCCUUGAUGUCAUGCAUAUCACGAAGAACGUGUGCGAGAGUCUGCUCGGUACCCUGCUCAACAUGCCGGAGAGGACCAAAGAUGGGCCGAAAGCAAGGGCAAACUUGAAAUCAAUGGGCAUCAGGGAGGAGCUUCACGCUAAUGAUGAUGACGAUGAGGCGAAGCAGGACACGGAAAGUCGUCGCAAAGGCAAAAAGGCCAAGAAGACCGGAAAUGACUUCCCUCCCGCGUGCUUCACUCUAAGUCAGGAGGAGAUCGAUUAGUUUUUCACCUGCCUCGUAGGAGUAAAACUUCCUUACGGUUACGCAGGGAAGAUAAGCAGAUACCUAGACUCAGUGAAGCAGAAGUUCAGCGGGAUGAAGUCUCACGACUGUCACGUGCUGAUGACGCAGAUACUUCCAGUUGCAAUCCGUGGGGUCAUGGACGCGCACGUCCGUGAAACACUAUUUGGCCUAUGCAAAUUUUUUGACGUCAUCUCUCAGAAGUCGGUUGGCGUGAGGCAACUCAGAAGGCUACAGGAAGAGAUCGUGGUGAUACUAUGCGAGCUUGAGAUGUACUUCCCGCCCGCAUUCUUCGACGUUAUGGUGCAUCUGCUGGUCCAUAUCGUGGAGGAUAUCAUCCAACUCGGGCCAACGUUCCUGCACAGCAUGAUGCCGUUCGAAAGGAUGAAUGGUGUCAUCAAAGGAUACGUUCGCAACAUGUCACGUCCAGAGGGAAGCAUAGCCAGGGGCUUUCUGACCGAAGAGUGCAUCUCCUACUGCACGAAUUAUCUAGGCAUCGAGAACCCCGUUGGUCUGCCCGCCAACAGGCACCUCGGCAGGCUCGCUGGAUGGGGUCACCAUGAGGGUCGCCGUGAAAUGCAUGUCGACUUCGAGGGUCGACUCGCCGACUUUCAAAGAGCAAACCUAGUCACGCUACAACACAUAGACGUGGUCGAUCCUUGGGUGGUAGAGCACAAAACCUUUAUUGAGAAGACGUACAAUGACCAAGGCCAACAGAGGACGGACGGAGAUAUAAUCAAAGAGCACAACUCAUGUUUCGCGCGUUGGUUCAAGCAGAAGCUUCUGACGUACCCUUUACAUGAGGAUUCUUCCGCGGAAGAACAACUCAUAUUCGCCUUGUCACAGGGCGCCGAGCACAACCUGAUGACGUAUGAGGCGUACGAUAUCAACGGCUACACAUUCUACAUCGAGGGAAAGGACAUGAAGAGCGAUGGUUAUCAGAACUCCGGGGUAACGAUGGAAUCCUACACCGGUAAGGACAAGGACAGAUACUACGGAAGGAUCGAGGAGAUCUGGGAGCUGAGCUACGGUGGAGAGAAGGUCCCGAUGUUCCGUGUCAGAUGGGCCAAGAGCGUCCUAAAAGAAGACCAGUAUUUCACCACCAUGGUUAUACCCAAAGCCAAAUCCAAGACCGCGGGCGCAAACGUCACCGCGAAAAAUGAGCCAUGGGUACUGGCUUCACAAGUAGACCAAUGCUUCUUCAUUACCGACCCGUCAAAGCCCAGUCAUGUUGUCGUGAGGAGAGGCAAAAGGAAGAUCAUCGGAAUGGAUGGAGUCGCCAAUGAGCAAGACUUCGAGAAGUACGGCGACCCGAAGAUGGAACAUGACGACGACGAUGAAGUACCAGCAUACACCACAAGAAGAAGCAGGACCACCCUACCUAAAGGACGUUCGUUCAAGAGAAGAACUCCAUUUACGAAAAAUAAGGGCAAGAAGAUUGUGAACAGAUAGCUAGCUAAGAUCGAUUGUAUUUAAAUUGUAGCCUUCAUUUCUCGAUUGUAUUUCGACAUAUUGAAAUGAUAUUUCUUCUGUUCUAGUGUCCUCAUGAAUAUUUAUUUAUGUUUAUUAUGGUAUUGAAUUUCUAACUCACAAAAAGUAUUGAAUUUGUUAAUAUUUUUUGAACUCAUGAAUAUUUUUAAAUUUCAUGGGCACUUUUUGAAUUCAUGAAUAUUUUUUCAAAUUUGAUGAUAUUUUUUCAUAUUCAAUAUGAAAAAAUAUUGAAUAUUCAUGAGGACACUCNNNNNNNNNNNNNNNNNNNNNNNNNNNNNNNNNNNNNNNNNNNNNNNNNNNNNNNNNNNNNNNNNNNNNNNNNNNNNNNNNNNNNNNNNNNNNNNNNNNNNNNNNNNNNNNNNNNNNNNNNNNNNNNNNNNNNNNNNNNNNNNNNNNNNNNNNNNNNNNNNNNNNNNNNNNNNNNNNNNNNNNNNNNNNNNUCGGUUCCCCCUCCCUCCCCCCGAGUGCCAUUGCUAUACAAAAAAAAGAUUACUAAUGGCGCACCUCAUUGGGGUGCGCCAUUGCUAUUCAAAAAAAGAUUACUAAUGGCGCACCUCUCUAGGAUGCGCCAUUGCUAUACAAAAAAAGAUUUCUAAUGGUGCACCGGGUGUGGAUGCGCCAUUGCUAUCAAAAAAAUUCUAAUGGCGCACCGCUCGGGGGUGCGCCAUUGCUAACCCUUCCUCCCCACUAAAAAAAUUCUAAUAACCCGUCCUCAAGUCCCUCCUCUGCGCGGUGAGUGCCCGCCAUGUGCUCGACGCUUUGCCUUGCUGGGCGUUUCAUCAGUUAUUUUAUUAUAUAGUGUUGGUUAUACCAUCUCCUGGCUGUACUACUCAAAGUAUGCAUGCACAUCAUGACAACAAUUGUUGGCAAUUCAGUCGCCUGGUUCAGACGAAUCCACAUGUGUAGAGUACAAUAGUGGUAGCUGACUGACCUGUGGCUGGUGAAGAACAUGUUGCAGGCCCGGCAUGUUACCAGCUUGAUGGUCUACUGCUAGCUGGGCGGUUGGCUGGCUGGCCGUGUGGCAAGCCCUCUGUAGAUAAAUUGUUUGAUUAGGGUACGGUCUUAGUGGACUUGCUAUGCUUAGAGUGGCAGUUUACAGUGCUUGAGGCAGGGUUGGUUGGUAUAAACCAAAUUUGUCCGGGACAGUUUAAUUAGCCAGUAAUAAUGUGCAGUUAUCAUCAUCCCUUCUCUUUUGUUGUGGAUGGAGAAGAGAGAUUCAUGGUACCAUAAAGUUGUCACUUUUUUAUUCAUAUAGAAGACUUCAAGUAUCUUUUUUUAGAGAGAAGUGUUCAAGUAUCUAGUUAAGUUGGUGAGCAACUACACUUUCACAGCCCAAAGGCCCACAACACACCACACCACACAGCCUUGAUGCCUUCUAGUACUGCUAGGGUGCUGAGUCCAACAUAGUGAAAAUGCAAAAAAUCACAAGGAAACUAGAAGUUACUAUUAUGUUUAUCUGUAAACCUAAAAAAACACCAUUAUCCUUUCUGAAACUAACCCACUAGAGAUUAAUAGGAAAAACAGUCUUAACACAGAAUGUGCCGUCUUUUAUGUCAUUGGAGUCAAGCAAUUGAAAAUGGACUAGCUACAAAUUGAAUGUCGGAUUCUUUUUUUACCAUGGCAGAUAUAGUGUUUUUCAUGGCAAUUAUAGGUGUCGCAGGGAUGGCAGAUUUCUUUAGCAUGCAUGGAAAAUCCUUGGCCCGUACUGUAAUCAUGUUGACAACUAUAAUUAACAUGAAGCAUCCACCUUACUAAGCCAUUACUUGUGUGCAUCUCUAGUUUCCUUGCAGGUUGUAAGUUUUUAUUAGGAUAGCUGUAAAUUUCUUCUGUUUUCUAGUAGUACAACCUGUACUGGUUGGGACAAAAACACUGCUUUUGGUGUACCUGUAUUGUUCUUUCUAGCUGUAAAUUUCUUCUUUCUUCACUUUACUGAUGAGUACACAAAGCAAGUGUGAGUGAACUGAAUGAAUUCAGUGUGCACUCUAGUAUAAGUACCAUCUAGUCAAGUCAAGCUUUGGUCAUGAUCCAGCAGAUGAGAUUUUCUCUUCUGGGGAAAAGCAGAUGAGAAUUGAGAAGCAUAUGCCACAUAAUGAUUCAGCAAUAUCUUUAAGGCAAAUCUGGUUGGCAAUUUGGCCCUCCGUGUCCAUCACCAUGGCCACUACUAUUUCAAACUGAAGAAAGAAAGGAAGAGAUGAUUUUGCAGGUACCCCGAGAGGCCCUUGAGUUUGCCGGAAUGUUGAUUAACUUCCGUUCCGGCAAAUUUGGGUACUCCAUAUGUCCUAUUUUCAGCAAAGGUCAUGCUGAAAUUUUCCGUGAAUUUUAGCAUGACUUUGCUAAAAAUAGGACAUAUGGGGUACUUGCAACUAAUGCAUGGGCCGGGGUAUCUUAGUACUUAAUUAAUUAGUUAGUGUAGGUGUAUAUAUACACAUGAAUCCACCUACAUCCUGGCAAUCCAUUUAAUCAGAGGAAGACGACGAAGAAGAAGAGGAGGAGGAGGAGGAGGAGGUGAGGUUGGUUAGGCAAGAGUCAAACCCUAAAUGAUAAAACCUUGGCUUUUAGGGUGCCUUGGUGUCGAUAAAAACCUAAAUGAUCAAUUUUCAGCCCUUGGAUUAGUUUAGUAUUUUUUCACACACUCAGACACCCUUGCUUACCAUGUGUGUGAGAGAGAUAGUGAGAGGAGACAAGAAGAAGGGGGUUAGGAAGGGACUUGGACCUUAGCAACAACACACUAACAGCAAAUUCCUCGAGAAUUAGGUUAUUUGGUCAACUUAGAGACCUUGUUCCUUGACAAUAACCAACUUUUUGACCAAUUUGUUUCCUAUUUAGAGCAAAACAUGGCCCACAACGAUGAGGCCGGCAGUUCGGGCGGCAAGGCAUUAUGGGAGCUGUCCCAGGAGAUGGAGGAAGAACCUCACCGCUAUGAGGAUGCCGCAGAAGACACCGAUCCUGACUACACAACCCCUAGUGGCGUCGGGGAUGACACCACUGAUGGUGCCGCCGAGGAUGCCACCACUGAUGAUGGCAGCGCAUGCACAGAUGGCAGCCAACCGAAGAGGCAACGGAAGGACCGGCGCCCGAACGUGCUCGGCACCGUCAAGGAGGAAUUUACUAAAGUGAACUGCGACGGGGAUCCAACGGCGCCCAAAGAAUUAGUCAAGGGGUACUCGGUUCAGCUCGGGUGCAUUCUCCGGAGCACCGUCUCGAUCAACACCGAGAACCUAAGGCAUAAGGACCGAGGGAAUUUGCGCAACCUCCUCUUCACGAAGCUGCACGAACGAUACAAGUUCCCCGCUGAGUUUGCAAACACACGCCUCUCAGGGAAUAAAGUGAACAGUGCCGCCCUCACGAAGAUGAGGACGGCCAUGUGUAUCACUGCGAUCGAGAUUCAUUUUAGGUGCAAGUCCAUUGAAGGUAUUAUUCAAAUAAACAGAGUAACCAUUAUUCUCCUGAAAUGAAUAACCAUAUUGCGACAAACAGAAUCCAAUCAUGUUUAUGCUCAACGCAAACACCAACUAACAAUUAUUUAGGUUUAACACCAAUCUCGAUGGUAGAGGGAGCAUGCGAUGCUUGAUCAUAUCAACCUUGGAAACACUUCCAACAUAUAUCGUCAUCUCACCUUUAGCUAGUCUCCGUUUAUUCCGCAGCUUUUAUUUCGAGUUACUAACACUUAGCAACCGAACCGGUAUCUAAUACCCUGGUGCUGCUAGGAGUACUAGUAAAGUACACAUUCAUGUAAUGUAUAUCCAAUAUACUUCUGUCGACCUUGCCUGCCUUCUCAUCUACCAAGUAUCGAGGGUAGUUUGCUUCAGUGACCGUUCCCCUCAUUACAGAAGCACUUAGUCUCGGGUUUGGGUUUAACCUUGGGAUUCCUCACUAGAGCAACAAAUGAUUUGCUGUUUCAUGAAGUAUCCCUUUUGCCCUUGCCCUUCUUGAAACUAGUGGUUUUACUAACCAUCAACAAUUGAUGCUCCUAUUUGAUUUUUACUUUCGCGGUGUCAAACAUCGCGAAUAGCUCAAGGAUCAUCAUAUCUAUCCCUGAUACGUUAUAGUUCAUCACGAAGCUCUAAUAGCUUGGUGGCAGUGACUAUGGAGAACCAUCACUAUCUCAUCUGGAAGAUUAACUCCCACUCGAUUCAAGCGAUUGUGGCACUCAGACAAUCUGAGCACAUGUUCAACGAUUGAGCUUUUCUCCCUUAGUCUGCAGGCUUAAGAAACUUGUCAGAGGUCUCAUACCUCUUGACGUGGGCACUAGUCUGAAAUCCCAAUUUCAGUCUUCGGAACAUCUCAUAUGUUCUGCGACGUUUCAAAACGUCUUUGGGGCCACAAUUCUAAACCGUUAGCAUUACGCAGUGAACUAUCACGUAGUCAUCAAAACGUGUAUGUCAGAUGUUUUGAAACAUCUACAGACGAUGCUGAGGUUCAGCACACCGAGCGGUGCAUUAAGGACAUAAGCCUUCUGUGCAGCAAUGAGGAAAAUCCUCAGUUUUCGGACCCAGUCCGCAUAAUUGCUACUACCAACUUUCAACUAAAUUUUCUCUAGGAACAUAUCUUAAACAGUAGAACUAAAGCGUAAGAUAUGACAUAAUUUGCAAAGACCUUUUGACUAUGUUCAUGAUAAUUAAGUUCAUCUGAUUAAUGAACUACCACUCAGAUAGACAUCCCUCUAGUCAUCUAAGUGAUACAUGAUCCGAGUCAAACUAGGCCGUGUCCGAUCAUCACGUGAGACGGACUAGUCAUCAUCGGUGAACAUCUCCAUGUUGAUCGCAUCUACUAUAUGACUCAUGUUCGACCUUUCGAUCUCUUGUGUUCCGAGGCCAUGCCUGUACAUGCUAGGCUCGUCAAGUCAACCUAAGUGUUUCGCAUGUGUUUCGAGGCCAUGUCUGUACAUGCUAGGCUCGUCAACACCCGUUGUAUUCGAACAUUAGAAUCAAUCACACCCGAUCAUCACGUGGUGCUUCGAAACAACGAACCUUCGCAACGGUGCACAGUUAGGGGGAACACGUCUCUUGAAAUUUUAGUGAGGGAUCAUCUUAUUUAUGCUACCGUCGUUCUAAGCAAAUAAGAUGUAAACAUGAUAAACAUCACAUGCAAAUCAUAAAGUGAGGUGAUAUGGCCAAUAUCAUCUUGAGCAUUUUGAUCUCCAUCUUCGAGGCGCCGCAUGAUCACCUUCGUCACCGGCAUGACACCAUGAUCUCCAUCAUCGUGUCUUCAUGAAGUUGUCUCGCCAACUAUUACUUCUACUACUAUGGCUAACGGUUAGCAAUAAAGUAAAGUAAUUACAUGGCGUUAUUCAUUGACACGCAGGUCAUACAAUAAAUUAAGACAACUCCUAUGGCUCCUGCCGGUUGUCAUACUCAUCGACAUGCAAGUCGUGAUUCCUAUUACAAGAACAUGAUCAAUCUCAUACAUCACAUAUAUCAUUCAUCACAUCCUUUUGGCCAUAUCACAUCACAUAGCAUACCCUGCAAAAACAAGUUAGACGUCCUCUAAUUGUUGUUGCAUGUUUUACGUGGCUGCUAUGGGUUUCUAGCAAGAACGUUUCUUACCUACGCAAAAGCCACAACGUGAUAUGCCAAUUUCUAUUUACCCUUCAUAAGGACCCUUUUCAUCGAAUCCGAUCCGACUAAAGUGGGAGAGACAGACACCCGCUAGCCACCUUAUGCAACUAGUGCAUGUCAGUCGGUGGAACCUGUCUCACGUAAGUGUAUGUGUAAGGUCGGUCCGGGCCGCUUCAUCCCACGAUGCCGCCGAAUCAAGAUAAGACUAGUAACGGCAAGUAAAUUGACAAAAUCGACGCCCACAACUACUUUGUGUUCUACUCGUGCAUAGAAACUACGCAUAGACCUAGCUCAUGAUGCCACUGUAGGGAAUGUAGCAGAAAUUCAAAAUUUUCUACGCAUCACCAAGAUCAAUCUAUGGAGUUUACUAGCAACGAGAGGGAAGGAGUGCAUCUACAUACCCUUGUAGAUCGCGAGCGGAAGCGUUCAAGAGAACGGGGUUGAUGGAGUCGUACUCGUCGUGAUCCAAAUCACCGAUGAUCCUAGCGCCGAACGGACGGCACCUCCGCGUUCAACACACGUACGGAGCAGCGACGUCUCCUCCUUCUUGAUCCAGCAAGGGGGGAGGAGAGGUUGAUGGAGAUCCAGCAGCACGACGGCGUGGUGGUGGAAGUAGAGGGAUUCCAACAGGGCUUCGCCAAGCGCUGCGGGAGGAGGGAGAUGUGUCACGGGAGGGAGAGGGAGGCGCCAGGGCUUAGGUGUUGCUGCCCUCCCUCCCCCCACUAUAUAUAGGGCCAAGGGAGAGGGGGGGCGCAGCCUUGGCCCUUCCUCCAAGGAAGGGUGUGGCCAGGGAGGAGUCCAUCCUCCCCAAGGCACCUCGGAGGUGCCUUCCCCCUUUAGGACUCUCCCUUUCCCUUAUCUCUUGGCGCAUGGGCCUCUUGGGGCUGGUGCCCUUGGUCCAUAUAGGCCAAGGCGCACACCCCUACAGCCCAUGUGGCCCCUCGGGGCUGGUGGACCCCCUUGGUGGACCCCCGGACCCCUUUCGGCACUCCCGGUACAAUACCGAUAAUGCGCGAAACUUUUUCGGCGACCAAAACAAGACUUCCCAUAUAUAAAUCUUUACCUCCGGACCAUUCCAGAACUCCUCGUGACGUCCGGGAUCUCAUCCGGGACUCCGAACAACUUUCGGGUUACCGCAUACUAAUAUCUCUAUAACCCUAGCGUCACCGAACCUUAAGUGUGUAGACCCUACGGGUUCGGGAGACAUGCAGACAUGACCGAGACGACUCUCCGGUCAAUAACCAACAGCGGGAUCUGGAUACCCAUGUUGGCUCCCACAUGCUCCUCGAUGAUCUCAUCGGAUGAACCACGAUGUCGAGGAUUCAAUCAAUCCCGUAUACAAUUCCCUUUGUCAAUCGGUAUGUUACUUGCCCGAGAUUCGAUCGUUGGUAUCCCGAUACCUUGUUCAAUCUCGUUACCGGCAAGUCUCUUUACUCGUUCCGUAACACAUCAUCCCGUGAUCAACUCCUUGGUCACAUUGUGCACAUUAUGAUGAUGUCCUACCGAGUGGGCCUAGAGAUACCUCUCCGUUUACACGGAGUGACAAAUCCCAGUCUCGAUUCGUGCCAACCCAACAGACACUUUCGGAGAUACCUGUAGUGCACCUUUAUAGCCACCCAGUUACGUUGUGACGUUUGGUACACCCAAAGCAUUCCUAUGGUAUCCGGGAGUUGCAUAAUCUCAUGGUCUAAGGAAAUGAUACUUGACAUUAGAAAAGCUCUUAGCAAACGAACUACACGAUCUUGUGCUAGGCUUAGGAUUGGGUCUUGUCCAUCACAUCAUUCUCCUAAUGAAGUGAUCCCGUUAUCAACGACAUCCAAUGUCCAUGGUUAGGAAACCGUAACCAUCUAUUGAUCAACGAGCUAGUCAACUAGAUGCUCACUAGGGACAUGGUGUUGUCUAUGUAUCCACACAUGUAUCUGAGUUUCCUAUCAAUACAAUUCUAGCAUGGAUAAUAAACGAUUAUCAUGAACAAGGAAAUAUAAUAAUAACCAAUUUAUUAUUGCCUCUAGGGCAUAUUUCCAACAGGUACAAGGAGGACCCGGUAACAAAGGAGCUUACCACGGAUCCGAAGACCAAGGCGCUUGAGAAAGUUCUGGUAAGGAAUACACCCCCGCGUAAUUAGCUACAUAUAUGGUUGCAUUCUAGUUAAUGAAGCCAAAUUUCUAAAUGGUUCACAUUCCUUCCGCAGGAGACUGAAAGCAGUAGCGCGGGGUCAUCUCAGAGCUCCCCAGCUUGGGACAGCACUCUAAAUAGGGCGUUGAACAUAAUGAAAAACAAGUAUAAGCUCAGUAAGCCGUCGUCAGCUGGUCGUGUGGCCGGCAAAGGCUUGUCCACAAAAUGGUCGUCAUACUAUAACGCUGGUGGGCGAAAGGAGAAAAAGACCAGCUCGGAAAGCCAGUCGCGCGAGGUUCAAGAACUCAAGGCACAAGUGGCGCGGAUUCCGGAGAUUGUCCAAGAGCAAGUGCAACAACAACUGGGAACGACGCUCACCGCCAUUGUGCCUAGCUUGAUUGAGGGGCUGCAGGCGUGGAGUGCGGGCAGCCAACAGGGGCCGCCCCCGGUUCCCAGCUUCACGGCCAGCAACUCGCACAACGCGCAUGCGGCGCCAUUGGUGUCUCCGGCGGAGGCGGUAUUAGUGUCUCCGGCGCCGGCACGGGCAUUGGAGCUUAAUGCACCCGGGUGUACGCCGGCCGGCACCUCGGCAGCAAGCGGCCCCUCCGUGAGUUGCACGCCCGCCGUUGGCGGUGCCUCGACAUUAGCCGAGCUCGACGCCAUCACGGUAACUAAGCCUCUCGGCCGAUGACUUCAUCUCCUUGCCUUUGACUGGGCAUCCCUGAUGCCCUACAUGUUUUCGCAGGGCGCCACCGACGUCCCAUGCACUCUCCUGCACUUCGUGGGCGGCGAGUUCAUCGAUGUCGCCAAGGGCAGAAUCGUUCAACCGGGCAACCCCGUGUUCCACGGUAAUCCGAUGCCACCCACUGUGUAUAGGGUUGAACUAGUUCGGGUGCUGCCAGGCUGCGACAAGUUGUUACCUCUGAUUCAACCCGCUGGGGCCGACGAAGAUGAUGUGAUGACCCUCAGCGCCUGCGUAAGCUAGCCCCUGCUUGGGCCGAAGAGCCGGAUUCGUUUGGGGGCGGGGGACACCACCCCACAGACAACACCGCCAGUCGUGCCGGCGCCAAGCCAUGGCAAGACCGCUGCAACACUACCGGACAUGCCGGACAUCCCUAUGGCACAGGAUCCAGACAUGCAUAUGGCACAGGAUCCGGACGAAGACGACGACGGUACAUUUACCAAUGUCGAUAAGUACUUUGCCGAACAUGGGUACGGUGACGAAUUCUUCGGGCCUCCUUCUCAAGAACCCAACCAUGAAAAAGACGACCGCGAUCGAGCUGGUACCGCGGAGAAACCCAAUUGCAACAGGCGUCGUCUGGCGUUCAGUUCUCAGGAGACGCCUCCAGCUGCCGCCUUCACCGAGCCUCAGAUAGCCGAGGUGCGGAAUAUUAUCAGCCCCAACACACUCAAGAAGGCGGUCUCUGAGCAGAACGCGAUCCCAUUACAGGAGAUGAUGAAGAAGGGACGGAAACGAAAGAAUAACAAGGGCGGUGCGAGCCAGCCGGCACCGAGUACGAUCCGUGCUCAGGAUGGGCCACCUUCACCUAAGGAUAUCUCGAGGAGGGUGCAUGUGGCGGGUAGGCCGAUGCUACCGACUAAUCUGCUCAAUGCUGCAACCGGUGCUAUGCGGAGUCUGCAUGACAGUGUUCUUUCUUUGGAGAAGUGGCGUCUCUCCAAGAAUGAUGUGGCAUACCCGGUUUUCGUGGCCAAGGUGCCAGAGGGCAAGGGCUUUGUGGAUAGCGCCAUCGGGGGUACGAUCGUCCUGCGGUUUGAUGACAUCUUCGCUAUGUUUAACCUUCAUCCAGUGCACUACACCUUCGUUCGGCUAUUUUCGCUGAGUAUGGAGAUGCGGAUCAUUAGAGACAAGACACCGGACAUCGUGAUAGUCGACCCCUUCUACAUGCGUGCCAAGAUCUUCGGCAGCGCUGGGGACCGGCAAGUCGCGAGUUCAUACCUCGAAGGCGUCAUUCUGGCAAACCCAGAUAAGGAUAACUUCCUCGUGCCUUACUUUCCCGAGUAAGUCAUCCCCUCACCGCCCCGUAACAUAUGAUUUCUUAGAUUUCGAUCGUUCUUUUUUUUUUCUAACAUUCCGUGUUUUGUGCAGUGACACACAUUGCACACUCAUCCUCUUAAGCCCAGUUCGUAGGUACGACAAGCACAUCUUCAGCCACAAUACGACGUUCUCCUGCGUCAAGCAGCGGCCUGGCGGUCAGAAGGAUGCCUACUACGCCCUCCAUCACAUGCGGGCGAUCGUACGGGACCAUAAUCACCUUCUGCUACCAAGUAAUCUCAAAGAUUGGGCCGCACACUUGUCGGCAAUCCAGGACGCGGACAUCAGACAAGAAUUCUUUCGCAUCCAGUCGGAGUUUGCGGAAAUCAUCCAUCAAGAUGUCCUUCGUACCUUGGGGCAGUUCUAUCUGAGACAUCAACCGUCCAACAGUGAGAUAGAAACAACACUACAAAUGCAGGCUGACAACGCUCGCGAUUUCAUGACCAUCACGAAAGACGGCGGCUUCAUCCACGCUCCGGUCCCUGAGUCGAGUCGAAAGUAGUGAUGCUAUGUAGUUCUGAAAUGUCGAUUGGCUCAUGUUGUAAUAUUAAACUUUAAUGAACUUGUAUGUCUCUUUGGUUUGGACAGUCAUUCAACUUAUAUGUAAUCGAUGAUAUUUAUUAGUAGGACCAUGAAUCGUGCUAUUAAUGUGUUGCUUUUCUCUUCCGAUCCUUUUGUUGCAUACUUAUAUAUUGCUUAUGUAUUGUCUGUGAGUUGCUACUAACGUUUUGUUUGGCUAGUGCAUAUAUAGAGAUGCCGUCGUAUGUCAUGUACAAGGGUAAGGUUCCCGGAGUCUACGGCGACUGGCAGGAGUGUCGGAGACAGGUUCACCGUUUCAGCGGUAACAGUUACAAAGGGUACACCACUAGGGCGGAAGCGGAAGUUAGAUACGCGCGCUAUCUAGCGGGAGAGAGGACGGAGCGGAGGAGGAACCAGAUGAAGACCAGUUUCAUCGCGAUGAUGCUAACCGUGAUGACCGCAUCUCUCUUCUAUGUGAUGGUAGUUUAGAUGAUCGAUAUCGACUUGUAAUGUGAAGACAAACUCGCUAGUCGCGGUUUCGAGACUUGUAAUAUUAUAACUUUGUUCGGUAUUUGAAAUUCGGAGACUAAUAUGAUGAAUUGUAUUCGGAGACUAAUCUUCUAUUGUAUUCGAUAAAUCUGUUGUUUAUAUGUUGUGUUCUCUAUAUUAUGUGCAGUAAUAUGUUUUGUAACCUGUGCAAAUAUCAGAAAAGAAAAAAAAUAAUCCCUAAUAUUCAUAUUAAUGGCGCACCACCCAGCACACUAAUGGCGCACUGCAGAAAGGACACUAAUGGCGCAUCACCCCCUAGUGUGGCAUUAGUAUGCCAAGGCACAUGGGUAAAUAUGGCCCCUGGGAGGCAUACUAAUGGCGCACGGUGGGCUAUACUGAUGGCGCACUGCGUGGUGCGCCAUUAGUAUACCAGAUACUAAUGGUGCACUGCGUGAUGCGCCAUUAGUAUUUAAUUCUAAUGGCGCGGUGCUAGUGGCGCACCAGUAGUGCGCCAGUAGUAGGCAAAACUAGUGCGCCACUAGCAGGCCUUUUCCUAGUAGUGUGAGAUGAGAUCGAAUGAAACUGAAAAUUCAAACAGAAAGACUCACUUGUCUGGGAUUUGGAACUUUUUUCUGGACGUUUUACACCGGUUUAGAUGGUUCACAAACUCGGGCGUCCUCUUCCCUCCUUUUUUCAGAUGCAAAUCACCACGGUGUUUGUACUUAAGUUAUCUGAUAUGAGGUUCACAUAUUACCAUACUGUUUACAUAGUAGUUGUCGAGUAUGUAUUUCAACUAUUUUUCCCCUCUUGGUAAAAUGUUACCGCGGUGUUUGUACUUAAUUUAUCAUGUAUGAGGUUCGUAUAUUACCAUGCUAUUUACAUAGAAAUUACCGUGUUAUAUGUUCCCGGAACUUUUUUCUCCUUGUUUAAAAAUGUUACCGUGUUGUUUGUACUUAAGUCAACGUGCUAUAUUUUUUAGCAACUUUUUCCUCCUUGGUCAAAAAUGUUACCGCAGUGUUUGUACUUAAGUUAUUAGGUAUGAAAUUCUUAUAUUACCAUGCAAUUUACAUAGAAAUUACCAUGCUAUACUUUUCAGCAAUUUUUUCCUUCUUGGUAAAAAAUAUUACCGCGGUGUUUGUACUUAAGUUAUCAGGUAUGGAAUUCUUAUAUUAUCAUGCUAUUUACAUAGAAGUUACCGUGCUAUAUUUUUCAGCAACUGUUUCCUCCUUGGUCAAAUAUGUCACGGCGGUGUUUGUACUUAAGUUAUCAGUAUGAAUUCUUAUAUGACCAUGCUUUUUACAUAAAAAUUACCAGGGUAUGUUUUUCAACAACUGUUCCACCCUUCAUCAAAUUUACCAUGUUGUUCAUACGCAAAUUAUCAUGUGAACGGUUCGUCUAUUAGCAUGUUGUUUUCAAAAAAGUUAUCGCGAGUAUAUUUUUGAACAGCUUUUUCAUCCCUUGGUUAAUGUUACCACGGUGUUUUGUUCAUAAAUUAUCGAGUACGAGGGAGGUAUAUUGCAUACUAUUUACACAUAAGCUAGCGACGAUGUGCUUUUCAAUAAAAAGUUUCCUGGGUCAAAAAGUUACCAUGUUUGUAUAUCGGUUAUUGGAGUUUAUAUCACCAUGUUAUUUACAUAGAAAUUACCGGCAUGUUUCGAACAAAAAAUUCUUGGGUCAAAAAAUCAACAUGAUUUUGUUUGUAAGUUAUCAGGUCGGGUUGCUUAAAAACCAUAUUUUUUACAUAAAAAUUACCAGAGUAUUGUUUCAACGGUAUUAGUAUGCUCGACCACGAGGGGAACCCCGUGCCGUCGUACAUCCGUCAGUGCGCGGUGACGCGCGCCUUCUCCGCAAAAGCUGCUAAUGGUGGUGAGUGGGGUUAUCCUGAAGUGAGUGAUCUGGAGGAAUCGGCUUAAGCAUGGUUAAUAAUAUAGCCAGCUGCUGGCUAUAACAUGUUGCCAUGUCAUUUAUAGUCAAUAUAAUAGCUAACACGUAUAAUAGUUGGCUAUAAGAAAAUACUACUUUGUCAACAUAUGGCCCACCUUUCACUCUCACAAAACUUCUUGGAGCUCGUGCUAUAGCCGACUGUAAGUCUACAACCCGCUUCCCUUCUUUCAACUCUUCUCUCUCUUCCAACUAAGCAAUAAUACAAUAUUUAGAUCCUUAUAGCCUUACAUCACCUUAUUAUACUUGCUCUUACUUGAAGGACGAUGUUUUUAGUCUCAGGUGCGAUAUCCCCGUGGCAAAGGAGAUCUUCAUCACCAAGGCCAUCCCUGUUUCCGAAGUUCAUCCUGGUGUCGUGAAACAGGAGAGAUGAAGCGGCUCCUCUCCGCUGUGGUGUUUGAAUUCGUGGGAGUGACCUUGGCUUGGUUGUGCGCGAUCUGAUGAUCAGCUGCCAUCGUCCCUCCUUUCGUCUGUAGAUGCUUUGCCAAUGUUGCCAGGUCUCUUUUUAUCUUUCAUGUGCUACUAUUAUCGUUUUUUAGUUUAAGGACAGUUGUUGUGCACGUCCGUUUGAUCAUCGAGUCUUGUAACGGAAGCAUCAAACUGAUAAGGUGCAUUAUUCUGAGUUGUGUCGCUUUAGCUUUUUUCAUAUUUCAGUCAAAUGGAACUUUGUAGCUUCGGGUGUCGUUUGCAGUAUGUCGAGGAGCGUGUGUAAUCACUUAUGCAAGUCAAUGAAAACCAGCAAAACUAGUCCCCUUUGUGCUUUUUUUUUUGCGAAAAAUGGUGUUUCAUUCAUCAAGAAUUGUCAUUACAAUCUGUUUGACACAGCUGGCCAAUCUCAUUCGGGCCGUGUCUCAGCCCGACGGCCAUGCGAGAUGAUGUCUUCCCCAGUUGGGCAAGUGCAUGAGCUACAGAAUUCUAAUUUCUACGUACAUGCAAAAGUAGAUGUUCUCGUGUUGAACACCAGUUUUUUGGAUUCCUCGAUAAGUGCAGCCACCCAGGAUUUGUGAUUUUUUUUCAAAACUAUGACGUUUUUUAUAGCAAUUUCGGAAAAUAUAGCACGUAAUGCAAAAAACCCAGAACUAUGACCCCGUCGGCCUGGUGUUGGUCGAAGAGGUACUUUUCAGUCACCGUUUGGCCGAAGAGGGCUUUUCGGCCCGCGGUUGACCGAAGAAACGCGUAGCUGGGACGAAGACCUCGCAUCGGCGGAGGCCGGGCCGAAAAUAGUAACUUCGGCCUCGCCGCGACCGAAGUGGGUGUUUUCGGCCAGGCAGCGGCCGAAGAGCCUUUUCGGCCUCCCAUCGACCGAAAAGGAGUGGAUAAGCCCCCGCAUGGUGUCUCCUUCCUCUCGCCUGUUCGCCUCUGUUCUUCCUUUCUCUCUCUCGUUCUUCUCUGUACCUCACCACCCCUAGCUGAUCUCCUCCAUUUGCCACCCAUUUUCACAUCGAAGCCACAGAAUCGGUAGAUCGUAGCAAUCCCAAACGGCCUACGGUGUUGUUUUUUGCUAUGGAUAGUUUUCUGUGCGUUUGGGGAGGAGUAGCCAUGGUGGGGAGGAGGAGCCAUGGUGGGGAGGAGGAGGUGCGGUUGGGCAGGAGGUGUUGAUGAGGAGGAGCAACAGUUGUGGGGGAGCAGCAGCUGUGGAGGAGGAGGUGCGGCUUGGGGGUGACUGGAGUUGAACCUCCGGUCGUCGAGGGGGCGGCGGUGGUGCUGUCGUUGUUCGGUGGUGCAAGCACCUCCGCUAAGGUAUAAUCAUGUCCUCACAAAUUUUCUCUGAGUUGUAUAGUUUAGUUAGUGUAGAUAAAUUAUAUUGCGAAUUGUAGUGUUAAUUUGUAUGUGGUGGCAUUUUAGCGGAGUAAUAAUUGUGUUAGUGUAGCGGAAUAAUAAUAAUUGUGUUAGUGUAGCGGAUAAUAAAAAUUGUGUUAGUGUUAAUUUGUAUGUGGUGGCAUUUUAGCGGAUUUUAGUUAGUGUAGCGGGUAAUAUUAGUGUUCGUUGUGAUUAAUGAGAAGAUGACAAUGUCUGACAGGUGAAAAUGUCUGAAUCAGUAAAUCUGAAUGUUUACUACGGCGCUGGUAAUGUUCGAUAUAAUGAGUUGGGGGUUGAUCUUAGAGAGUUUAAAAAUGGCGUCAUGACACUAGCAGACCCGGACAGACUGGACAUUAGACAGUUGAAGUAUUGGUUGACAACUAGUUUCGGGCUGGAUCCUGAAGUAUGUUCCGUCAGUAUUCAUGCAUUGUGGACCAAAUCUUGUAAAAAUGUCAAGUGGGAGUUGAUGUCGAUAGAUAGGAGCCAGCAUUGGUUGUCCCUGUUAAGACGCUGCCGAGACCGAAGAAUCCACCCAUAUGCACUUGUGCAACCUGUGCCGAAGGAGGAGAAUACCGUACAACUCCACAGGGGUAUGAACCCGGCAAAGGCAGUGAAGUGGCUAACGAGAUUGUUUUAUCCGGGUCACAACCACAAGAUGUGGAUGCUAGCCAACCCGAGAAAGAGUCGGACUACGUGCCACACAAUGUUUGUGGUCCUGAUACCGGGCAGAGUAGCCAGUCGAUAAUAUUAGUUGGUUCUGGUUUUGCCGAUGGGGAUGAGGAAGGGGAUGAAAUGCAGAGGGUGAUGGAGGAAGAGGACGAGGAUGGAUUGGUGGAGGAACUGGAUUCUGAAAAUUCUAAGGAUGAAGUGGAAGUACCGAUUCCUUCUGCAUGGGAGCAGGACAUAUCCACCGGCCUUACGCUCAACGAUGGCCAUGAGACUCCAUGUCAGUAUAAUCUGAACCAAGUACAGAUAGGGGCUAUGUUUGAUACAAAGAAAAAAUUGAAGUAUGCGGUGAUAAAGUGGGCUAUGUCUACGCAGAGGGUUUUUCGGACAUACAUAUCAAGUCCAACAAACUAUACGGUGAAAUGUGUUGAAACAGGUUGUCCAGGGAAGGUGCACGGGCACGUGCCGAAGUAUGACAUCCACUGGGUUGUCACCAUUGUCGUCCCACAUAAUUGUGUGAGGAAGAACCUGCUGGUGAAGCAUCCGAACCUGACUUCAAGUCUCAUCGCGCAACUCAUGUAUACUGAGAUAGUAGAGAAGAAACAUAUGGAAGCAAAACACAUCCAGACAGCAGUGCAGGUCAGAUGGAAUUAUGUCAUUCCUUAUGGGAAGGCUUGGAGGGCUAAGCAGAAGGCUAUGGAGGAAAGGUUUGGGACGUUCUUUGACUCAUAUGAUAAUGUUGUCCAUCUCCUUGGCAUACUGAAGGAGAGGAAUCCCGACACUUAUGUGAACGUACAACACAUGAGGUUGCUGAGUAUACCAGAUUUCAAGGUGUUGAAACGAGUGUUCUUCUCUUUUGCUAUGUGCAUCGAAGCUUUCCGGCAUUGUCCUCCUGUUAUGUUUGUGGAUGGUACAUUCCUGACCGGGAACAAUCAAAUCAUCCCACUUGCCAUGGCAUUUGUGGAGGGUGAGAACUUUCCCAGGUGGGUAUGGUUCUUCCGGCAAGUGAAAAUUGCCAUCGUGAAGGACCGACCAAACGUGUGUGUCAUUCAUGACAGACAUGCCGGUAUAUUGAAGGCCGUGAAGACACUACGUAAUCCAACAGUUGACGAACCAACACCUUGGAGGGACUUGCAGAGUCGGUGGUGCAUGCGCCAUCUUGGGGCUAAAUUUUUCUCACAGUUCAAGAACAAGCGGUUGAUGAACUUGUUCAAAAAAUUAUGCAAGCAGAGCCAGCAGUGCAAAUACGGAUUUAUUUGGUCAAAACAAGAUGAGUUUACUAAGAAGCAGGUCCGUGCGAGGAGGAAAAUGGAAGAAGAUCAGGUUAAAUUAGCAGCACUCAUCGCGGAGCUAGAGGAGCGAGUAGGUCUUUGUGACUUGCCAGCAAUUGACCCUCCUAAUACUAAGAGAAAGAAGGGAAGGGCAAUAAAGAAUUUUUCUGAGUGGAUAGAGAAAGAGCCUCCAGUGAAUUGGCCUUUGCUGCAUGACACACAUGGAGCUAGGUAUGGCCACAUGACAAUCAAUCUUGUAGAUGUGUAUAACUUUGUGCUGAGAGGGAAUAGAGCAUUGCCACUCACAGCUAUUGUGGAGGCUGUAUUCCAUGGCACUUUGAGAUAUUUCAGAGAAAGGCACGAGUUAGCAAAGAAGCAUAUUGAAGAUAAUCACAACACACCUUAUUGUACCCGUGUCAUGGAAUACAUGGCAAAGAAGAUAGAGAAAGCAAAGAAGCACACUGUCAGACUCAUAGGGAAUGAAGAAAGGAGGUAUGAGGUUCAGCUUCCUACCGAUGGUUUUGGUUCUGGACAUGAGGUGAAGACACACGAGGUAAAAAUUGGAACGGAAUUUUAUCCAACAUGUGAGUGUACCUGCAACAAACCGAAGUUGUUGCACCUACCUUGCUCUCAUGUGUUGGCUGCCUGUGGCCAAAUUAAGUUGGAUGCUAUCUCCUUCGUGUCCCCAUACUAUUUAAAAGAGGCAGUGGUCAACACAUGGACAUGUGAGAUGAUAGGGUUUAGAGUCGUCGGCAAUUUCAACAAGGUAAACGACAGUGAGAGAGUAUACAUCCCGCAUCCAGACCUUCGGCGAACAAGUAGGGGCAGACGAAAGGCCUGUCGCAUCCGAAACGAUAUGGAACAAUCUGAAGCUGGUGGAGCAACCAGACAAUGUUUGUUAUGCGCGGCUUAUGGGCAUAGGAUGAAAUAUUGUCCCGACCUGAACAAAGAUGGUGCUUCCACAUCAACGGCUGCGACAACAGGAGCAAGAGGCGGACGUGGUCGUGGCAGUCGAGGCCGAAGGGGCGGACGAGGAAGAAAUAACUCACAAGCUAUAUAAUGUGUCGUACUGUGUUUCAAUAUGUAAUAUGUCAGGACUAUGUUUUAAUUUGUAAUAUGUCAGGACUAUGUUUUAAUUCGUAAUAUGUCGGGACUAAGUUUUAAUUUGUAAUAUGUCAGGACUAUGUUUUAAUUGGUAAUAUGUCAGGACUAUGUUUAAUUUGUAAUAUACCGUACUAUGUUUUAAUUUGUAAUAUGUUUGAACUAUGUUUUAUUUGCACCUGAGAUUUGUUGUUUGAAUUGCAGAUAUAUCUUCGUAUCCGUUGCUUAAUGGUAACAUCGAUAGAAAGCACCGGGGCGCCCUUAUGGAAGCGAGCAACAACUUAGACGUGUUGGUCACUCGUACCCCAAAGACUAACUGGAUGAUACACGAAUCAUGGGUUGAUAGGUAUGUGUGCAUAUAAUGGAAUCCAUAUAAUGACUUACUAUGUUUGUCAUACUUUUCAUAGCCGCUAACAAUCUCUUUAUUUUGUAGGUUAAAUUGGGUUGGACUUCUACCCUUGGCACGACUAGUUGAGGGUACAUUGGAUGAGUGGGUUGAUGGUCCGGACUUAGCAGUUACACAACAGGCAAGUGAAACGUUUCUCUUACGACAAGUCACUCCUUACCUGCUUAGUAGAUAGAUGGAGACCAGAGACACAUACGUUUCACUUUCCCUGGGGAGAGAUGGCGCCUACUUUAUAGGGUGUGUCUUACUUGUUGGGAUUACCUCUGGCCGGUGUUGCCAUAGGUCCCUUAGAGGCAGAAUCUGGUUGGCAAGCAGCGAUGCAGACCCGUUUUUUGGCUACGGUGCCGACUGCUAGGGCCAUAGAUAACGAUCCUCACGGGCCUCUUUUUAGAUGGUUGAGCCAGUUUCAGGUAACCUUCACGGCCACUUAAACAAAUGUUGUUUUUUAGUUCCCCGAUGUUCAUACAAUCAUUACGUUUCUAUGUAGAUUGUCUCGUUAGGAUAUCCCGAUGUUCAGUUGUCGGAGGCACAGAUUGACUGGUCCCUAGAGGCAUAUAUUCUUUGGCUGUUUGGCAAGACAAUGUUUACGGAAAACCAUGUGACCACUGUCGAUGCACGACUCAUCGGUAUUGCACGAGAGAUAGCCGACGCACGUUGCCCUGGGGAUAUUCUGCAGAGGAGUUUUGGUUCUGCUGUGUUAGCAGCUACGUACAGAGGCCUGUGCAAAGCUUGCUUGUUGAAGUCUAGAAAAUCUAGUCUUGUUGGAUGUCCAUUAUUGUGGCAGCUCUGGUCAUACGAGAGAUUCCCUAUUGGACGACUCUAUGUCUACAUUGAUAAACCUUUUGGUUUGGAGGACUUAGCUGGGGCUUAUGUGCCAGCUAUCGGCGACUUGCCUACUAUGGGAUAUGUUUGGGCACGGAGAGAGGUACUUUUAUAUUAAGUAACAAUUAAUUCCAUUAUUUCUUGCCAUUCAAUAGUAUUACUAAUGCUUAAUUGUUGUCAUGCACAGAGACAGUUCGCGCAUAGCCAGGUUAGGGGAUGCUACCCGUCCUUCACGGCGCAGUUUGAAGUUUGCACGAGGAUCAAGUUAUCUGGGAGCCAUACUCGCCUCAGGCUAUAUCAUCGAGGUGCCCGGUUGGGAUUUCUGGAUUGUGCACUAGAGAUCGGCACUAUUGGAUGACCAAGGCCAAGUUGGUGUUCGACGUGACGGUUGAGGAGAUGGCUCUUCAUAGGGUGAUGAGACAGUUCGGUCUAUAUCAAGAGCCUGAGAUUCCAGAUAUUCCACAUUUGCCAGAGCACGUGCAGAAGUAAGUACCAAUACUAUUUUAGUUGUCCGCUCUGCAUUCAUAAUAUACCUAAUCAUGUAUCGCGCAUGUCAAUCUCAGGGACAGUCGCCUAGGAGGAUACAAGUCCAUGGCUUAUUGGCUUAAGAGCAUUACCCCUUACGUUGAUGAAUGGACUACCGCGCCGACAAAUAUCUGGGGUGAGGUUCGUCCCUUUAACUGGGAAAUGUUCGGGUUGUAUCUGCAACGUUACCGGCAUACAACGAGGAUCUACUUGGUUCCACCAGCUGCUCCUGAUCAGAUCGAAGCCCCUCUCACCAGCGAUAUGUACCCAACUGCUUCUGUUGUGGGAACCAGACAGCACGCGGUACGUGCCUUGGUUCUCAUAUGUUAAGUCUUUUGUUAACCUGGACAUAUUCGCUUGGUUAUCUAUUCGUGGUGUCUAUCAUACAACGAGGAUAUAAUUGGUUAACUCUUCAUGUACAGGGUGACUUGAUAGUACAUGAGCGAGAGGAGGUUUCCGCCUUAACGCAGCGCUUUCAGAGGGGAGAAACUAUCCCACCGCGAGAGGGCGUCUCAUGGUUAAGGCGUCUUGACGACAAGCUACGUACGUGGGAUUUACGCAACUGUUACGUGUAGACGGUCUUCGGAUGUUGCAGUUCCUCCUCCAGCACAUCGUCCGCCACGUCCCUCUGUGCACCAUUCAGAACCACGAGUCUCUGUGCACCAUUCAGAACCACGACCCUCUGUGCACCGUGCAGAACCUCAUCCUUCACAGCCAGGGAGCUCUUCCUGGCAUCAGCCACCUCCUUCACAGCCAGGGAGCUCUUCCUAGCAUCAGCCACCUCCUUCACAGCUAGGGAGCGCUUACUGGCAUCGGCAGAUGGAACUAGGUAACACUACUCACUACAUUCUUUUAAACAAUGUAGUAAUUGUUCCUGCAUUCUCAGUAGUCACUGAUGCUUACUGGUGGUGCUUCGUUCAUGCAUUUGUAUCAAUUUUACAUGUUUUACUUUACCGCUGGCGGCAACCAGUCGCAACCGUUCAUGCAUUCAUAGCAGUCACCGAUUCUUAGUGGUGGUGCUUCGUACUUUGAGGGCGACGGCGAGGAUGAUGACCAAGCUACAAACAUUUAUGGCUUCUCGCAGACAGUGUUUCACACUCCACCACCACCACCGACGCGGGAGACACAUACCGUGACAGACGAGAUUAACUAUGGUCGUGGUUAUCGCGAGCCUCGUCCACCGCCUCAGCGCUUAUCGCCUUCCGGUCCUCGCCCGAGGAAGACCCAGACUCGUCGUCGUCCCCCGCAGUGAUAUGCUUAUCUAUCUAUGUAUGACUCAUUAUCUAUGUUAGUUUCAGACUAUUCGCAGCUGUGUGUCAGUAUUUAUGUAUGAGACAUGCUUCAUGUAUGUGUUACUAUCGCACUUGCUUCUAUCUGAACAGGAGACAUAUAUUGUUUUAUGUAUGCGAGAGACAUAUUACUAUUAAUUCACAUUCUUAUUCCAGUUACAUUUCCAAAGAGACUACAACCGAUAAUUAAGAUACAAGUACAUCUGAAUUAAACGGUGCGGCUGAACUUGUGCAAUACAUCUUACAUACUACAAAAUGAAAUUCAGAUAUAACAUAAUGCCCUACAAUAAUACAGUACAAACUAAUAAUGCAAGUACAUCCGAAUGAAAUGGUACGACUAGAAUACAUCUUACAUACUAAUAAUGCAAGUCAUCAUCGUCAUCCUCCGCUGAUGCAGCCCUUUUGCCCUUCGACGAUGCGGUCCUCUUGCCCUCCGUCGAUGCAGAACUCUUGCCCUUGGUCGAUGCAGAACUCUUGCCCUUCGAGGAUGCAGAACUCUUGCCCUUGGACGAUGCAGAACUCUUGCCCUUCGAUGAUGUAGAACCCGGAAGCGGCGGCAUGAAGAUAUCAUCUUCGUCCUCGCUCUCCUUAGUCCAUAAAAAUGUAUUCUUUGCUGCAGUCCUUCUGAAAGUUUCACUCUCCGGCUCCACUACCUUCUUCCACCUUUCAUGCAACCUAAGAAGUUCUUUACAUACCUCCUCAUAGGUCCUUUCAGGCCACCCAGACCUACGUAAUCGGUGAGCCAACUCAUUCAUUAUGGUGUCACUACCGGUGAGUUCGUCCCAUGGAACUAUCCUAUUGUCCAUCCUGAAAUCGAUAACUAGACUCAGAAGAGUCCUGCUCAUCCCAGGGUGAAAACUAUGAUCGAUGGAUAAUGGGACAUCUGGACUACACUACACUGGAAUGCUUAUCCACCUCCGCCAGAAGGGGUUUUUAUAGAUAGAGAGGAGAAAAUGGCGGGAAAGAAUGAUUGCGGUAUGGCGGGAAACGGGUGGCGGGAAGGGGUUGGCGGGAAACGGGUGGCGGGAAAAUAUGGCGGGAAACGGGUGGCGGGAAGGGGUUGGCGGGAAACGGGUGACGGGAAAAUACAUUUCGGCCUAAGCCAUGCAACUUCGGCCAACACUAGACCAAAAAGGACUUUUCGGCCUACACUUGACCAAAAAGUGUAUUUCGGCCUAGUGGUGGCCGAAAACAGCCAUUUCGGCCAGGUCCCAACCUUUUUGGCCAAGGCAAGGCCGAAAAGCCUACUUCGGCCUAGAGGUGGCCGAAAACAUCUACUUCGGCCAACGCGUGUCCGACAGGGUGCUAUUUUUGAUUUUUAUCCACAUCAUGCAAUAGUUUCCGUAUUUGCUAUAAAAAACGUCAUAGUUUUGAAAAAAUCGAUUUCUUCAAGUCAUGGUCUCCACUCUAAUGCAAGGGCAAUGCCCUCUGCACACGUCGACGUUUCAGCUCACUAGUAGAAAACAGGGCUUAGGUCAUAGGAGAGUUUUCACAUUAGCCCCGGUUCAGUCACGAACCGGGACUAAUGUGAGCAUUGGUCCUGGUUCGUGCGGCCAGGGACCUGCCGGGCCUCAUGGGGGCAUUGGUCCCGGUUCGUCCGGACCCUUUGGUCCCGGUUGGUGGGACAAACCGGGACCAAUGGGCCACGCUCCUAGCCCACCACCCUUUAGUCCCGGUUCCUACCACAAACCGGGACUAAAGGCCUGGUCCUAGUUGCGGCCAGUGUUUAGUCCCACCUCGCCAACCGAAGGGCGCUCACAUCAGUUUAUAAGGCCGUCCCUCUCUGCCUUGUUGAGCUUCUCUUAAAGUGAAAAUAGAUGCCCUUAUACAGGGAAUUUGACCUAAAUUCAUAGUAAAUUUCGUAGAAAUUUAUUAUGAAUUUAGGUUGAAUUUUCUCUAUAAGCGCAUCUAUGUUCAUUUUUUUAUAUUUAUAAAAUAAAUAAACCUUAAUAAAAUAAAAUAAAUAAGUUUUUGUUGUAAGUAGGAACAAAAAAAAGCAAAAGAUAAAAAAACAGGAGCCAUCAACUCCAUAACCGCCAUAUCUGGGAUAGAGAAGGGCGAUCCCUUGGAGUGGGAUUCACAUACAGUUGCCAAACAUCUACCAUUCGAGCCUAGCAGGUGGAACUCGGAUCUGUCAACAGUGUCAAAGCGGCAAAUAGCAGGCGGAGGAGAAGCCACCGAUGUCAUGUGUAGAUCCCUUCUAGGUCUUGCGGAUCGUUCUAUUACAAUAAUUUGGUUGGUUGAUCCCAAAAAAAGGGAAUUUGGUUGGUUUUCUUGAAGCCCUAGCUUGUUGUGCCGUCCUAUUCUCUCAAUGCAAUUUAGCAAAUGCUACUACAGUACAGUAAAGGGCACAAAGAAAAAGCACGCAGUGAAGGAAAAUACCUCCAUAUCAAAGCUGCUACUUAUCUUGUUGGUUAUCAGGAUGUGGAUAUGUAGAAUUUUGUCUAGCCACGGCAACAGACAUGCAUUCAUCGAGGGGGUUCACUACAGAACAAAAUAAAUGCUGACGUUAGUUGUUGAGGGUACGUUUGACAUCCCUGAGAGACUAGAUAAUGAAAAGAUGAAUCGUCAAACCUGGAUGAACAAAGACGCUACCAAGUGGAUGAAUCUGAUGGCCUGUCCUCCCUUGAAGAUCAUGCGUCCUCCCUUGAAGGCGCCACCAGGGCCAUGGACGCCUCAUACACCGCCGCAGACGUGUUGUAGUGAUGAGGUAUCGUGCAGGAUCUGACACAGGAUCACCUUCAGGCAAGAUGAAUAGGUCUUCAGGGGCACGACGGCCGGCCACAGCAGGCCCCUGCCAUGGACGGCGCCGCCCGAGGAACAGCUGCUCGCCAGCUCGCCUCUGAGCAGUCCAAGCUUAUCCGCGAGCUCGUCCACUAGUGCUCGUCGCCGCCACGGCGUCCUGCAGGCUAGAGAACGGCGGUUCGCCGUUCUUAUCCACGGCCGCCGUUGGAACCGACUCCGGCCGCCUAUAUAAGGAGCCCUUGAGUCCGUCCAGUCCCUCAGGCGACCUCAAGCCACCCCACCUAGCACCCCCAUAGCAGGCAAUCGACCAGGGAGGGUCUUCUUCCCCAUCUCCGGCCAGUACAGCCGCCACCGCCCUCCGGUCCAUUCAGUUGCAACCAGAGCCCCCCCGUCCGUAUAGCACCACCAUCCUCCUCCCCUCGACCGUGCGGAGCCUCCCAAACCCUCAGCUGCGUCGGGGAACCACCGUAGGCCAAAGCCCCAAACCUCCCGAAGCUGCCGUCCGCCGCGGAGCUCGCCGCCGGCGACUCCCUCCAUCCCCGCCACCUCCUCGACCACCGGGAGGACCGCCCUGGCCUGGCGGAUCCAUCCCCGCCCUCAGGACCCCGCGAGGAGCCGCCGUUCGCCGGCGUUGAUCGCCGGAGCCCCGCCUCUGUUCGGCCAGAGGAGGAAGGAGGCGGGGGCGACUGGUCAAACCUGACCAGUGGGCCCAAGGGACCCACUGUCAGUGACCCACGAGCCGGUCCACGUGGGUUAAGUGGAGGAUCUGACACAGGAUCACCUUCAGGCAAGAUGAAUAGGUCUUCAGGGGCACGACGGCAGUGGCGGCGCCAUGGCUGGGACUGGUGACGACAGCGGCGGCGAGCGAGCGGGAGGGUGGCGGCGGCUGCGUGCGAGUGGGAGGCCGGAGGAUCACCACUCAUUGUGCUCGACAUAUCACUACAAGAAACCUGUUAAUCCAUGACGGAUUUCUAAUGACAUUUUUGGAAACUCUCAUCGAUGACCAGGUAAAACCCCACAAGCCCGGUGAAAGCCCGCUAAAGCCCGUCUAACCGUUCCCGUAUAAAAACUUAACCCUAAAUUCCCUCCUCGGCCCUUGCAUCGUGUCCCACAGCAUGUCGCCACCCCUCGUCCCUCCCACAGCUCGUAAACCUUAAUAAAAUAAAAUAAAAUAAACUAUAGUAACUAUAAUAAAUAAACCUUAAUAAAUUAAGUAAAAAUAGCAGCAGUAAAAUAAAUAAAAAUAGCAGCAGUAAAAUAAAUAAAAAUAAAAUAAUUAAAGUAAAAUACAUAAGUAAUUAGAAAUAAAAUAAAUAAGUUUUUUGUUGUAAGUAGAUACAAAACAAAACAAAUAAAGCAAAAGAGAAAAAAAAAAAC
This 61434-nucleotide long non-coding RNA is filed under the name Triticum aestivum (bread wheat). RNAcentral describes it as "long non-coding RNA (TAES_LNC018396)". The record is from RNAcentral. Lineage: Eukaryota; Viridiplantae; Streptophyta; Magnoliopsida; Poales; Poaceae.